UUUUUUUUUAUAAAAGUUAUUAAAGGAUAUUUGGUCUCAAUCAAAAUCUCUCUAACUUAUAAUAGAUAAUCUCUUAAAAAAUAAAUAUGGCUGAAAAAUCAACUGAAUUUCAUCGGUCACCAUAAACAAGCCAAACUACCAUGUUAGCUCGAAUUACCUCAAACCUUUUUCUUUUUAUCAUUAUUUUAUGUAAAUUACACACAAGCUUAUAAUAUAUAAUAAAUAACUCUAGGAAAAUGGCAUUAUGAACCAUAAUCUAAAAAUAGGUGAAAAUACCUUUUUGUUAUAAAUAGAAUUGUAUUUAAGGUGAAUGUCUAUAUUUUAGAGAGAUUUUAGGGUUUGUUACUUGGUGGCUAAGUCACUUUUUCCCUAUAAAUAUAUGGGUUUUAUUCCAUUGUAAUUCAUCCCAAAUAAAAAAGAAUUCUCUCUCUUUACUUUUCUUUGCAAUACUUUUCUUAUUCUUUUAUUGUUUUUAAGGCUGUAUUCUGGGCCGGGGCCGGGCCUAAAUGGGCUAAACAGGCUAAACGGGCCGGGCCUAACGGUCCCGGGCUUUGGCGGGCCGGUCUUUGGCGGUCCCGGGCCAAAUGGUCCCGAUCCAAACGGUCCUGAUGGGUGGAACCGGCUCACUGUGGGCCUAAGCCCACAUGGUUCCAGGCUAAAUGGGUCGGGCCUACGGGCCUAAACGGGCUUAAGUAUUCCGGGCUAUUUUUCUUUUGAAUUGCACAACAAUGUACUAAUACCACCAUUAAAAGGAUAAAAAACUAAGGAAGAUGUGCCAAAAUACAAGUUACAUAUUAGCCUAUGUAUUAUCUCUAACAAAUUUCAUAAAUCCUUCAAGGUCCGGAGGAAUUUCCGUUGGUGGUGGCGGAAAAGAAGCUUGUUCAUCACUGCUUCCGGGCGAAGCAACAUCCUGCGCAAGUUCCGCUAGCAUUUCUUAAUAAGCUUCGUCUAUCCUCGGUUGUGAUUCUGCAAGUCCAGAAUUUCAUCUUUCCGAACGGAUUCAAUCUUUGAAGAGCACUGAUUUUUCCAAGCUCUCCCUCAUAGACGCUCUAUGAUCACCGAUUUGAAGUCUCGCUUGAUUGAAAGCGCUCUCCGAUGCCACUGUUGAAACUUGAACACUUAAAAUAUCUCAAGCCAUUCUUGAAAGAACCGGAUAGUGUUUUAUUUGUCCUUCCACCAUUCCAAAACAUCAAAGGAGCCGUCAGAAUUCUCUAAUUCAAAUCCCUGCAACAUAUAAACUUGAAGCUCAUUUAGUUGUGACCUAUCACCAAUAUUAUCACAUUGAGAACCCCUGAACUCCGUCCAAGCACUAAGGGAUUUUAGGCCCGCAGUUCUUUUAGAUGAUUGCGAACUAGACGAAGUAGGAGUUGGAAUAUCUGGUCUAGCAUGAUCUAAGGCAAGUUGAUAAGCAUUGUAAAUUAUUUGAGCAUUUAUUUUAAUUGAGGCUUUUGCAUCUCCAGGUGUAGCAAAUCCUCAUCUAAAAGUGAUAAAGCGUUAUAAAUUUUUGUGUACCAAAAGUGAGGACCUCCUAAUUUCAUUGUAGGAUUUAACAUGGCAGCAACACCAAAAAUAGGGGGAUAGGGAAAAAAAUUAUUUUUUAAACUUAUCUUUCAUAGAAUUAAUAGCAAGUUUAUAAAUUACCCCACCCUCUGAAAAUUGAGUAAACAAAUCUGCAAGUGCUGCAAUAUAAACUAAAUAGUUAGAAAUAGUAGGAUACUAUUGCCAGAUAAUUCAUUUGUAGCAACAUGAAAUUGUUCUAAAAAGUCUACAAGCAUUUUAACAUUAGUCCAAUCCUGAUUUGUAAGGUGCCCAUCAUCAUCAUCAUCAUCACCACCAUCAACACGAGCAUUAUACGUUGUGUUUAUUGGGUUUCUAUAUUCAUAUGCAACAACUAAACUUUCAUACAUGUAAUUCCAUCUAGUUGAACAAGGUUUAGAAACCUUUCUUUCUCUAAGGCCAAAUUCAUCACAUUUUUUUAAAAUAUUCUCUAAGUCUACUUCUACGGUUUGAAUAAAAAAGUCAAUUAAGAGUCAUUUUAACCUUUUCAAUUUCCACAUUUAAAAUUUUUAUACCAUCACCGACGAUUAAAUGAUAAAUAUGACAAAUACAUCUAACAUGAAAAAUAUUACUAAAUGCAGGAUUUAGUGUAGUUGUAAGCAAGCCUAUAGCAUUAGUGUUACUAGAAGCAUUAUCCAUUAAACAAAUAUUAUUUUAUCUCUAAUGCAAAAAUAUCUACAAAUAUCUGCAACUGUGUUAGCAAUAAACUUACCUGUGUGGCGUGAAUUAAUUAUUCUAUAAAGCUUUUGCAUUAUCCAGUCCUCGUCAAUCUAAUGACUUGUAACAGUUAGAUAAUCACAGUCAUUACAACUUCUAUCAAUAUCAGUAGUAAUAGCAAUGCGACAAUAUAUAUGAGUAAAUAAAUAGCGCAAAUAUUAUUCAUAUUCAUGUUUAUAUUUAUAAAUAUCGCUCUUUACGGUUGCGCGAGGCCAUCCUUUAUAAGUAGGAUUAAAAAAUCUUCUAAUAUAAUGCACAAAGUGAGGGUUAGAAGGAAAACUAUAGGGUAAGCACAUAACAGUAACCAUUUUUGCCAAUUCUUCACGAUCUUUAUUUGGAUCAUAAUAUAAAAUGCCACCGGUAACAGUGUUAAUUCUCGGUUGAACUAGAUUUGACCCUGUACUAGGGUUAACCUUAGUAUCUAUACUUCUACCCUCUUGCGCAUCUUUAAUUUGUAAAUAUCUAGCUUUAUCUCUAGGGUGUUUCUGUAUGGGUCUAGUCAAAGUACCCGUACCGCUACGGUCUCCAGUAUAUUUAUGAGCCAUCAAAGACCCACAAGUUUUACACUUAGCCUUAUUUUGUUCUCUUAGUCGAGUAAAAAAGUGCUAAACAAGAGAUGUUUCGGUCCGUUUAGAAGGUUGUCUAUUAAAAGUAGGGGUUACUACUGGAGGGUCAGGCGGGACAUCAUUUGGAUUAUUAACAGUUGGGUUAUUAAUAGGACUAGUAGGUGUAUCAUCUAAAUCCAGUUGCAUUUCAUCUAAAUCAUCAUUUUCAAAGAUAAUUUGAUUAGGAUAAAGAGCAUUCAUAACUUCAUCAUUUAAUUGUUGGCCUGGUGCAACAUCAUGGAAAAAUUGACUAUCGAAAAAUUAAAAACAAUGGUUAUCACUAUCAAGAAUAACAUGUAGGGGAGGACGGGUAAUAAGUCUGGGUCGGGGAGCCGGGGGAAGGGUAGUAGCUUGGCGAUUAGAUACCAUUUUUAGAUUUUCCCUUACCCUUACCACCAAAUAAUUUUUUCAAAAAAAAAAGUCCAUAUUAAUUAUAAUUAUACUAAAUAAAACAAACAAAACUAUAAUAUUAAAACUUAAGAGUUGGAACGAUUUAUUGAAUUGACGAACAACGUCUUGAAAUUGAAUAUUGUUGAAGGCUUGAAUACUUCAAUUCACCAACUAAACAAUUUUUCACAAAAUUGCAAUAAUAAAGUAAGCAAUUAUAGAAGAAAAUUAGAGAGAGAUUGAUAAAUUUGUGAGUAAAAAUAAAAGCAUGAGGGGGUAUUUAUAGUUGAGAAUAGGGAAAAAGUAUAAUUAUAAAAUGUUUGGGGUUAAAAUAAAGUUUGGGGGCCAAAUGGCUAUAUUUUAAAAAGCCAAACGGCUAAAUUGCAACCCAACGACUUGUUUUUAAAUUUCAGACCGUUGGCCUUUUUUUUUGAAAAAUAGUCGUUGGGCCCGUUUUGUCCGGUUGAACCGGCCUAGGCCCGCCUGCCGGUCCUGGGCUCGCGGUCUAUUUGGUGAGGAGGGGCCCACAGUGGGCUUUUAGGAUCGUUAGGGACCGGCCCGUUUGGCCCAUUUGCUAGCGGUCCCGGGCUGGACCCGACCCACAAUACACCCUUAAUUGUUUUAUAACACGUUAUCAGGACGGGACUCUUACCAAUUGAGUAGGCAUCUUCUUUGCUCACCAUGCUUUGGGAUACAUGCAUGGUGCUCAACUUGUACAUAGUAUUGAGCAUAAUGAUUUUCAAUUGAUCCAUGAAUUUCCUUCAGGAAUAAAUUCUGGAUUUAAGGUAAGUAUUUUACCUUAUUUUCACUUUUAGAUUCUUAAAAUUCUAUAAUUUGAUUUUAAAUACAAGCAAAGAGAAUAAAUUUUGAUUAUAACUCUAAUAGAGUUUGUGAGAAAUUAUAACCACCCGAAGUGGUAAAAAGAUUUAUGCCUUGUCAUUUUCAAAUUCAUGUAUGAUUAUGAGUACAAGAAGUGUAAACUCAUUCCAUUGAAUUUUCAUCAUUCUCGUUCCCUUAAGAGAAUGUGGUAGAAAUAUGUAAUAAGUCUGAAAGAAGACAAAAUUAUUACCGUGAAUGUAUCAAUGGAUAUGGACGUGGAAAUAGAUGAAAUUAUAACCGUCAUUAUUAUGGUAAUGAGAAAAAUAGGGGUUCUCAAAAUAAUCAUUCACUCUGUGAAAGUAAUGUUUGACAUAUGAGAUUUUGUAAAGCAUAUAUAGAUGAUUAUGGUCAAUUCAUGAUGUGAUUGUGACAACAUGUGAUUUAUGAAUACAUAUUCUUUCUUUCAAGAAUAUGAACGUGCUAGUGGUAAUGAAUAUAUCAUACUCACCUCUAGAAGGAGGUUUGAGAUGAAAUACGAAAAUAAUUUCAUUAUUAUGUCAUGAAUUACCAUUGAUCGCGUACCUAUUGUGAUUAUGCCAAAAUAUUAUGGCAAUGUGAUUAUUACAGGGCAAAGGAAAUGAAAGCAAUAUAUCUUGCCUAUAAUGAUUUUAAGCAUGACCAUAAUGGUAUAAAUUUCUCUUUGAAAUAUAUAUUUACCAUAUGGAUGUUGAUGAAUAUAUGGUAGUACAAAAUUAAUUGAGAGUUCUGGAAGAGCCAAUUAUUACUAUUUUGGUGAAAUAAAAUUGAUUAUCAAUAACAUAUUGUGUCGUAGUAAGUCUCAAAGAAAUUUAUUUAGUUUCUAAAGUGUUCGCGAAAGUGGUUGGUUAUAUUGAGACUAUAAAUAAAGGAAAGAUUUGAUAUCUUCCAUUACUACAGCUUGUAGCGCGGUAAUAUUUAUGUGAAAAGUUACCCGCUUUAUUCUUCAGUUUGUACUACACAAAUAAGAUAAUGCCACAAUAAAGUAGAAGUUUAUUGAUAUAAAAACUCAUAUCAUAAUAAACUUGGAGUUUAUUGAUAAUUGCACAUGUCAUGGUGUAUACCUAAAGUUUAUCAAUAUUAAUUUUUUCAGUUGGCAUAAUUAGUUUAGCAAUGUUAAUUUAAGUAUGAUGUGGAAAAAUAAAAGAAAAUUCACGUGGGUAAAUAUUAAAGAACUAAAAAGUACGGAUUCUCUUAUGUUGCUUUUUCUCAUUGAUUAAUAGAUCGAUAAAAAUUGGGAUUUAAUCCCAAUAAUGCUGGAAAUAUCAAAGAUGAAUAUAAGCCCAUUCACCUACCAUGUAUACUACAUAAGAUGCAUCUAUGAGAUGGUUACAUGUGUGAUUAUUAUUAACCGGCAAUGUAAUAUUUGUGAUAUAACCUUCUCAAUAAUUUAAUUUAGAGCAUAAUUUCCAGAUUUUUUAUUCAAGACAGUUCAUCUUGGUAAGUUGGUUUGCAUCACAGUUGGUUUAGAAAAAUAAUUUAUUGAGUGCAUCCACUUAAUAGUUAAACUAUUGUUUAUGAGAACAAAUUAUCUAUAUCAGUUUGAUAUAGGUUAUAUACGAAAGUAUAUUACAUUCUCUCUUUACAAGUGGUUCAAGGUCAGGAACCAAAUCUAUCUUAUUGUUAUUAUUAUUGAUGUGCGAUGUAUUUUUGAUUAACACCAUCACACACAAAUAUGGAUUUCAAAGUUGAGGAAACAAGUUAGUUUUUCUAACAUGAGAGAGAGAUAGGAUAAACAGUUGAGAAAGAGUUACGUAGAAUGAAUUAUCAUUUGUACAUCUAGAUACUCGAAUAAAAUAAAAUGAACUUUAUGUUCAUAGAAAGAUAAUUCAUCUGUAAUAUAUUACAAAGCACGCUUGACACAUUGGCGGACCCAAAUAAAGUAACCAUAUUCUCACCGUAAAUUCUCCUGUUAGAAUAAGUCCUAGAACGACAAAGUUUAAUGUAACGACCCGACCAAUCAUUUUGCUUUCUAAAACCCCAAUUCCCUAAAUGAGUCUUUCUGUACUUGCUUUUACUUAUUUUGUGACUUGCGGGGAUGGGUAGUUCGGAAUUUGAAAAAGUUUGGGUUGAAAUCGGAACACUUGGUUCCUUAAGGUUGGCUUAAAAGGCCAAGUUUGACUUCGGUCAAUAUUUUGAGUAAAACCUUGGAAUUGGGAUUUGAUGGUUCAAAUAGAUUCGUAUGAUAAUUUUGGACUUGGGCGUAUGUUCGGAUCAGGUUUUGGAUGACCCGGGAGCAUUUCGACGCCUAAAAGUGAAAGUUGGUUCUUUGAAGGUUUUUGAAGUUAUUUAAAUAUAGUUUGGAGUAGGUUUUGGUGAUAUCGAGGCCCAAAUAAAAUUUCAAGGCCGGGAAUAGUUCCGUAAUAUCAUGUAAGACUUGCACGUAAAAUUUGGUAUAAAUCCGAGUAGUCUAAGUAUGAUUCGACGCGUUCGGAGCGAUUUAGAAACUUGAAGUUCAAAGUUUGAUCUAAUUUGGUUUUGGGGUUUGAUUCUUGGAUUUAUUGUUGUUUUACAUGUUUCGAGAGUUUGAGCAGGUCCGUAUUAUGAUUAUAGACUUGUUGGUAUAGUUGGACGGGGUCCCGAGAGGCUCGAGUGUGUUUCGGACCGCCCAGAGCUAAAUUUGAGAAACCAAAUUUUCCAGUUAUGGUUUCCUUCUUCGCGAAUGCGGGACGGCCAUCACGUUCGCGAGGAAGGAUUUAGGGCAGUGGGAAAAUUGCCCUUCGCAUUUUCGGUCAGACUCACGCAUUCACGAAGCCAUGAGAGUAUAGGCCUUCUCUUUCGCGAACCCUCCUCGCAUUCGCGUAGGGGAAAUGGGGCUGGGUAGGGCCAGUGGACUUUGCUCUUUGCGUUCGCGAAAGAGCUGUCGCGUUCACGAUGCUUAGUCAGCGUAGGCCUUCGUGAACGCGAGGCUUCUUCCGCAUUCACAAAAUAGGCCGUCAUAGUUAGGGCUGCUUAUCGGGCGGAUCAGGCGGAUAAUUAUGCUUAACGGUUCGGCCUAUCAGUUAUCAAUUUUUAAAUAUACAAAUCUGUUAGCCAACGGAUAAGAUAUCGGUCGGUUCGGUAUCAGAUUAGUAAUUAUCGGACGGUUAUCAGGCGAUAUAUCAGUUAAUUUAAGAGACAACAAAAAUUAAAAUCACAACAUGUAGUCCAGCUUCCACCGGCGAAAUUAAAAUCACAGGCAGCUUCCAAUUCGGUUGCACAACAGCUUUUACAAAGAUGAAACAACAAAACCUUAUGUAUGUUGUAUAGAAAAAGACAAAAAGCAACCAGCAGACUAAUAACUAGCACAACUGCUUGUGCUAACUGUCAAGUUCUUUUGCAACAAGAUGUAAAUACUUUAUAAUUGGCAACAAAAAAACAAUAAAAUAUAGAUAAAAUGUAAACAAUGACAAUUGACAAAGGUUAUUAGUCCCCCUCGCAGGAGACUCAACACGGAUCAUAAAAAGCAAUUGGUUUGAUUUAUUAAAAGCAAUUCGAGAAGACUACCUCUUCAACCUCAAAAGUUUAAAAAAAUAUUAUAAGCUGCCCCAAUAAAUGACUUCAAAGUCUUGGAUUCAGCAUCAAGAUGCAAACACAAUAGUGUAAAUAUAAUACUUCUUAAUGGGUUAAUGGUUUAUCCGAUAAGAAAAUUUAAUAAUCCACCCCAAACAAAUAAGCCGUUAAUUAUAUAAUUUCAAUCCAUUCACCAACCGUUAAUCUGAUAAUCCGUUACCAAUAAGCCAAUAAGGCAAUAUUGCAGUUCGGUUAUCGGUUACGGUUUGGUUUUGAACAGCUCUAGUCACAGCUAGGCAGAAGCUUGUUUUAAAUAUGGGACUUAGGCAUUUUUCUCCCAUUUUUCAUACACUUGGGCGAUUUUAGAGCUUCAAAAAGGGAGAUUUCAACCUAGCUAUUGAGGGUAAGUAAUUCCUACCUAAUAUGAGUUUAAUACAUAGAUUAUGGGUAGAUUUUAAUAUGUAAAUUUAUGGAAUUCAUGGGCUAGAUGGAAAACCUAGGUUUUUAAUAAAAAUGAAAUUUAACCACGAAAUUUGUUAUGGAAUUUAGUAAAAAUUAUAUAUUUAUGUUCCUAAGGUUAUGGGUAACAACUUUCUUAAAAACAAUUGGGAAUCCAAGCAUGUGGGCCUGGGAGUGAAUUUUAGGAAUCUUGCAAUUUGGGUUGGGUUAUCACUUUAAUAGUGGAAAUGUGAACUUUUGAGCAUAGAUUGAUUAGUUUAUGUAAUGUUUGACUAGUUUUGAGUCGUUUGGCAUCAAAUUUGAAGGUUUGAGCGCAUUCUUGAAUUGGGAAGUAGGCUUUGAGACGAGGUAAGUCUCCUUUCUAACCAUGUAAGAGGGAAUUAACCUCAUAGGUGAAUUAAAUAAAUAUGUGUACCUAUUUGUGAGGGCUACGUACAUAUGAGGUGACGAGAGUCCGUACGUAGCUACUAUUAUGCUAUUUUUCGGGUAGUUUAGGACCCGUGUCAUGCUUUAUUUGGAAUGUUUGUUCCCUUAGUUGCUAAUUUGAUUACUUUAGUCAUGUUAGAAUUUGAUAAAAGAAUUCGUAAAAGGUUAAGUUCACUUAUUUGAAGAAUUUAAUUGGAGUACUUGACUAUAAAUAAGAAAUUUGUGUUUCCUUAAAAAUAAUUGCUAUUUGUGGAUCGGUUCGAGUGCCUCGGAAGUAAAUAGAUGCAUCUAUGGUUCGCAUUGUUCGACCCUCCGGCAGUGAACAAUUUAAAUAUUAUAUUGGAUCAGAUCGUACGACCUCGCCAUAAUUUGCGCGUGAUGAUUCUUUAGUACCCUCCAUGAUUGAUAUUGCUUAAAUGUCUUGAAGUGUAAACUGUUAAAUGAUAAUACCAAAUUUGGCAUUUAUAUUUGUGAAAGAAGGACUCAUAUUUUUCCUAUUUUUUUAAGCUUUCAGUAUUAUUCAUGCAAAUAUAUGCUUAGUAUAACAUUUUAAUACAUUAUUGUUAGCCCUAGUGAGUGUCAAGUCGACCACUCGUCACUACUUCUUCGAGGUUAGACUAGAUACUCACUGGGUACAUAUUGUUUAUGUACUUAUACUACACUUCUGUACUUAAUUGUACAGGAUCUAAGGCUGGUGCUUCUAGUUACCCGUCCGGCGUGCAUACUUGAUUGUGGUUCGAGACUUCACGGUGAGCUGCCCCCUUUCGAGUUGUUCAGCAGCAUGCUGGAGUUUCUCUCUUACGUGUAUCUAUCUAUUCUAUUUCAGACAGUAGGAUAGCCAUCUUUUGUACAUUCUACUAGCUACCUACAUACGUGUGACACUAGGUCUUGGCACACAUUUGUAGACUUACAAUUUUUGGGUUGUAUUUCUACAGUUAUGAUUUUCUUAGUUUGUUUUCCGCAUUUGGUUGCUUUAAAAAUCCGUUAUUUAUCAAAUGUUUUAAAUUUAAGGAAAGUUAGUUGUUGGAAUCACUUAAUAAAAAUGGAAAAUCACUAAGUUGUUCAUUGUUGGCUUGUCUAGCAACGGUGCUGGAUGCCAUCACGGCCUAACAUGGAGUUGGGUCAUGACACCUAAGGUACGCUUAAAGCGUAUAGACAAAUCAGUUUAAAUAAAAUUCUUGAUGAAGAAGAUGAACAAAAUGAUCAUAAUAAGGAGACAAGUGAUCCAGAAGAUCACAUGACAUAACAUGUAAUGACCCGACCGGACAUUCUGAGCUCUAGCAUGUCGUCUGGCAUUUUGAUGCCUCACAUAGCUUCACUUCAUAUUUUAUGACUUGUACGCGUGGUCGGAAUUGAAUUUCGGUAAGUUCAGAGUUGAUUCGGAAGAAAAAUUUUAAUUUUGGAAGCUUUAUGUUGGAAGAGUUGACUAAGGUUUGGCUUUUAAGUAAAUGACCUCAGAAUCGAGAUUUGAAGGCUCCAAUAGGUUUGUAUGCUGAUUUCGGACUUGGGCGUGUGUUCGGGUUGAGUAUCGGAUGGUCCGGGAGCAUUUUGGCGCCAAUUAUGGGAAGUUGGCAUUUUGGAUGUUCUAGAAUUUCACAAGUUUGGUUUGAAGCGGAUUUGACGUUAUCGAUGUCCAUUUGGAGUUCCACGCCUUGGGAUAGGUUUGUAUCGGGAUUUGUAACUUACAUGUAAAGUUUAGCGUCAUUAUAGGAUGUUUAGGUGUAAUUCGGACGCCUUCAGCGAAGUUUGAAGGUUGGAAAGUUGAAAGAAAGGUUUAGGCUGUCGAUUUGUAAUUUUGAUAUUGUUUGACGUGAUUUGAGAUUCAACUAAGUCUGUAUCGUGUUUUGGGAUGUGUUGGUAUGUUUAGACAGGGUCUCGGGGGCCUCGGAUGCGAAUCGAAUUGAAAAUGGAUUGGGUUUAGACUUGGAGGAACUGUUGAAGCUUAAGGCUUCUGGUGUGAUCGCACCUACGAGGUUAUGGCCACAGGUGCGAGAUCACAGAAGCAGUCCAGGGGUCACAGAAUUGGUAAGGAUUGAGGCUGGUUGGAUUUACAGGUGCGAGGAAUUUACUUCACCUGCAGGCUCGCAGAUGCGGGCGGAGGAGCGCUGAAGUGGAAGUGGUCUGUGGCUGGAAGAUCGCAGGUGCGGGUGUUGUAGAGCACCUGCAAAGCAGCAGGUGCGGUCAUGGACGCGGAGGUGCAGAGUGCUGCUCGAGCUGGGGAGUUUGCAUAUGCAGGUUAAGAUCGCAGAAGCGGCAUCUGCGAGUGAAUGUCCACAGAAGCAAAAAAGUUGGCACCUUGGGAAAGCCGUAUCUGCGAGGUAGCUUUCGUAGAAGCGGAGCCACAGUAGUGCAAGGAGUUCCGUAGGUGCGGAAAAUCGUUGGGUAGAAGGGUUCUUUAAAUCGAGACUUAGCUCUCAUUUCCCUCAUUUUCCACUUAAAUGGACGAAUUUGGGGAGCUAUUUUGAGGAGGUUUUCAUCAUGCAACACAAGAUAGGUAAUUUCCCACUUGUUGUAGGUUAAUUUCAUGGAUUCUAUAUGGAUUUAAACAUGGAAAUUAGUUGAAGAUUGGGAAUUUGGUAGAAAAUCUAGAAAUUGAUAUUUUUGUAUUUUGACAACGAAAUUGGACAUGGAAUUUGGAAUAAAUUAUAUAUUUAAGUUUGUGGUGUUAUGGGUAAAGUUUAUUUUCAAACAAUUUCGAAAUCCGGGCACGUGGGCUCGAGGGUAGACUUUAUUGACUUUUCGAGCGGAGUUGAGAAUUAUUGUAAAUUAAUUAAUUGCGAUGUUGAGAUAUAUUUUUAUUGGUUUUCAUGAUUAUUUUACUAGUUUGGAUCAAUGGGCAUUUGGUUUGAGGUGUUAGAGAGGUGUUGGAGCCAGUUAUAGNNNNNNNNNNNNNNNNNNNNNNNNNNNNNNNNNNNNNNNNNNNNNNNNNNNNNNNNNNNNNNNNNNNNNNNNNNNNNNNNNNNNNNNNNNNNNNNNNNNNNNNNNNNNNNNNNNNNNNNNNNNNNNNNNNNNNNNNNNNNNNNNNNNNNNNNNNNNNNNNNNNNNNNNNNNNNNNNNNNNNNNNNNNNNNNNNNNNNNNNNNNNNNNNNNNNNNNNNNNNNNNNNNNNNNNNNNNNNNNNNNNNNNNNNNNNNNNNNNNNNNNNNNNNNNNNNNNNNNNNNNNNNNNNNNNNNNNNNNNNNNNNNNNNNNNNNNNNNNNNNNNNNNNNNNNNNNNNNNNNNNNNNNNNNNNNNNNNNNNNNNNNNNNNNNNNNNNNNNNNNNNNNNNNNNNNNNNNNNNNNNNNNNNNNNNNNNNNNNNNNNNNNNNNNNNNNNNNNNNNNNNNNNNNNNNNNNNNNNNNNNNNNNNNNNNNNNNNNNNNNNNNNNNNNNNNNNNNNNNNNNNNNNNNNNNNNNNNNNNNNNNNNNNNNNNGGCAUCCCAUCAUAUCAUUUCGGCCACUGUGGGCAAAUCAUCAACAUAUAGCAGCUGAUCAGGUGCUGGUGCGCAUAUAACGCCGUAACCUUUUCUAUUGCCCAUAUACAUAUAAUAUAUGCGUAUAUAAUGCCAUCUAGUCAUGGGUCAAUGUACAUGUAUAAAUGCAUGAAAUGCAUAUGAAAUACGUUACAAGAUUUUUCGGAACAUCAUAAAAUUAAUAUGUCUUUCGGAUAAACUUUAUCAAAUACGUAUUUUUCUGAGUCCCAUGAAUAGAAGAUAUAAUAAUAAUUCACAUGGGGAAUCAAGAAUAUAUACACCCCUAGUAUUUUUAUGAAUAAAGUGAUUUAUGAAUGUUGCGUAUUUUGCUCGUUUUGUUUGUGUCGUAUAGAUCACGCCAAAAAGAAAGAAUGGAUAGCCUUAACAUACUUGAGCCCAUUCUCUUGACAGUCCCUCUAACACGUGUCAAUUGCAACAACACAUAACGGUGGACCGAAGUAGGGAAAAAUUCUUAUGUUAUUCUUGAGAAAGAUUGUAUUGUGCUUCCUCAGAAUUGCAUCUCACACUGUUGUAGCCUUAUGAAAUUUCAUAUGAAUUCAUUUGGGAAUUCAUCCGAUACUUACUUAGCACAUACAUCUCUUAAAAUUGUGGUGUUAUCCAACCUAAUUCUUUAAAAAUAACGCAUGAAUUUACAGGAUUUGAUCAGACACCACAUUUGAAUGUGAACUGGACUUUGGUAAUCAAAUUGGGAUAUAGCUAGCUAGGAUGCAUUUGUAUUUCUAAGUAAGAACCCAACCAAGGCACUUAGGUCCAAUUCUCUAAACAAAGGAGAACGUGUAAUCAAGCUGUCUUUUGACUCAUCAUGGACAUUUUGCCACUUUGGGUUGGCUUAAUGCCACGUGGCAACCCCAAAAAAAUAUCAUUAUCCACAUAAUCCUUCUUAAUACCACAAUUAUCCUAUCAUUAAUUAAUUAUCCCCAUAAUUAGGAAUUAUCUCAAAUUAUUUAAUAUACUACUUACUUUUAAUACACUUUAUACACCUUACAAUCAUGGUCAUGUGGUGCAUUCUGUGACACUAGUCCAUGAAUACGGGAUAUUAUACUUGGAUCGUAUUUUAUCCCCAAAAUGCCAAAAUUUGACGAAAUUUAUUUUCUUCGAUUUCCUUGCCCACCUUCAUGAAUUUACUUAUCACUUGUUUGAAAUAGCAUAGUGCUUAUAAUCUCAAAAUAAUCUUAUUCCCGAACUUACAUCGGUUAACUUACAAUGAAACUUCAACGUACGAAAAUGUGGUACGUAACAUCAUUCCCCCCUUUGGAACAUUCAUCCUCGAAUGUUGACUGAUGCACUUAUCAUUUUCAUAACAUAUGGCUCUUGCGAAUAUUUUAUUACUCUCCUUGUCAUCUAGGCAACUGUUCUGUGAAUAAAUCCAAAGGCAUGGUCAUUUCUCCCUUUAGGCCUCUUUCUCAUAUCAUGACUUGUGGUCGGAAUUCUUCCAAUCUCAUAACUGUUGCUACCUUCCAUCAUGCAUCCUGUACGACUCUAACCUUGUAAGUGUGCCUAUGUAACUCUUCUCUCCUUUUCCCUCGAGCUUUUUGCCAAUCUCUAGGAUUCAGUUUGUAUACAUAUACAGAGCUUGAUAAGAGGUCCCUCUGAGCAUCUAUGGGUAUACUGAAGUUCUUCGCUCAGUACUUUGUUGAACUUACUAAUAUUGUUAUAUCUUAUUUCAUCGUCCCGGUUAUCUAUCCGCAUGACUUUACUGCAUCUAGGUAGGUCAUACUAUACCAUAACUCUUACCUUGGUUUAUCGUUAUUGAGGUAUACUACCAAACUCCAGGUUACUUGCGUUUGUUAGCCCAUAUGUAUGAAUCUAAGUCCUUUAAUGCUUCCUUUUUAUUGUUCAUCUUAAUAAUGACGCCCUAAUCUCAUCUUAUACUUUGUGACUUUUGUCCAUCCAUUGUUGAUUCACCUUAAUAUUGAUCUAUAAUCUACCACUAGUAACUUGAAACCUCUUACGUGGAACAUUUGAAGUGAUUUUCCUAAUCCACUUGGGGGCGAUAUGAUACUAUACUUCCAUAAUCAUAUUUCAUAGCAUCCCAAUGUGAUUUAUCUUACACAGUUAUUUUAAUCUUGUACAAUUCAUGAAAUCCCUCUUUUUUCUUCAAAUCAUUACUCAAUCGAAGGCCCAAACAUCAUCCUUUAUCUAUCACAAUCACACCCUCAUUCCACUCUAGAUGCUAUUAAUCUUAGAUUCCUUUGAGUUCAUUAGGCUAUACUGAACUUUCUAUAACUUAGAGAAACCAUUAGUGUUCUUGUUGUCAUGGGCUUAAUCUCGAGGACAUAUCUAUUCUCGUCACCUUCUUACUCGCCCUUUCUCACCCUUAUUCCUAUCAUAAAACCUCGUCGCUUUACUAUACUUUAGCUUGCGACCUCUACGCAUCUAUUUAUACUAUUCGCAACCUUCAUUCAAAUUGCUUCCACCAUAGAUUCCCUAAUGUUAUUAUAGAACAUCAAGCGAGACAUCAUAUCAUCUCUAACUCUUCUUUAGUCUCUUGGCUAGAUCUCUCGGUACCUAGAAACCAUAGGCUGGAAGAUAUGCCACUAACGAUGCCACUAUCAUUCCUGGAUAUUGAAUCCCCACGCUUCUAGCCUUCUAUCCAAAGUAUGGACUAUUAUCAAACUUUUGCUUUUGAGUAUCUCGUACGUUGUCUACAUUUACCUUACUUACCUUAAAGUCUCGCAUCUCAUCUUCUAUCUCUUUCAUGACCUACCUUGCACAUAGGUAUAAUUCACGUCAAUAACUUGAAGCUCUAUUAUAAUACUUACACCUCCGGUGCAUACACAAUCCGGUGGGAGCUUCGUACUGACUUCUUAUGAGGGUGAUACUUUUCUAACUGGCUUUAUCGUAGGGUCGUCAUAGAAUAUGGUUGUUGUACUUUCUCUCUUGUACCUCUAAUAUUAAGAGUGAUCCUGCAAUGUUCUCAAUCACGAUUUCUUUAAUUUUCUGGGUCCAAUAAUCAGACUCCUAAUUUACUUGGUUGAUGUAACUCUUUAGUUUCCUCUUCCUUCUGACCAGCCUUUAUGUAGGCUUAAGCUAUCUUUCGAUCUGUGGCUCCUGGUAUUAGUUAUUACUUUAGCCUUUCAUGGGCGCUAUGAAAUAUCCGUGAUACCAUCAUCUAACAAUUCAAUCAUUGUCUAUGUCCUUCUUUCUUUUAACUAAUAUCGGAGUCUUCUACGAUUGUAUGAAUGUCAAUAUAUAUGUUUCGUGGAGAAUACUCCGAAAUCUUAAGUGUGUUCAUAGCAUAACGAACUCUAGAUCAUUAAUCGAAUAAUUCCUUUCGCUCCAUCUCAGCUUUCUUCAAACGUAAGCAAUUGUUUUUCCUGGUCUUUUUGCCCCCUUGUUACGUGCAUACUUAGCUUAUUUCAGUUAUCACAUAUGCCUAAAUGUUUGUGCAACUCAUAUGGUCUCCAAUAUUACUUUUGGUUUUACUCCCCGCUCAUUAGCCAUGGUAGGUGCCACUUUCUUUAGGAGUGCAUACAAUUUUGUAGUGAGACUGUUGUUCCACAACCAUUUCCUCUUUAGGUCAUGGUGCCUAGGUUGAAGCCUUCUUCCUUAUUUCCUCAGCUAGUCUUUCAUUGUAGUACUUAGGGAGGAUCACCUAACUCUUAUAAAGCUGCGAGCUUAUCACAUCGUAUACUUGACGGAAUAUUUUAUGUUCUUCCUCGCCUAUAAUUACCCGUAGUUGUUUAUCUCCACGCCUUUGUGCUCGUAGGGUUGCUUUUGAAUUAAUAUUUUGACUGACUUCCUAGUGGUACUCUCUUUUGUUUCCAUAACAAUCAUAUUGUAACUUUAUUUACCCCUACUUAUAUCUGAAUAUUUAUGAAGGAUCAUGAUGUCACAACUACGAGGCUGAAUUCCCCAUGUUAGGGUUCCCUAUGUUUAUCUUGAACAAUUUGUUAAUUUGUCUAUAUCCCAUAGCUAGGCUCAUUCUGAAUCAACUACUAACUACUUGUUGGCCCAUUCAUGUAUCAAUAUUCCACGUAAUCUUUCUUGGGUUAUUUUCGUUGUCUUAACUUACCUCUUGCACUGGCUCUUUAUUAAUCAAUAACAUCUCGAGCAGGAACCCUUACUUCCUCUUCUUGAUGUCGUGUUUGCAUAAUGCUUUGGAAUCGUGGCAUAUCUGUAGGCUUUGAAUAAGUGAAAUCUCAUCCAUUUUUCAUUUUAUCACAUUCUUCCUCUACCAUUCCAUAAUCACUAGAACCACUUAAUUCUGAUUUAAAUGCCACAUCACUCCAUAUUCCCCCCUUUAGGGGAGCACUAAGAUUUAGUGUUACGAUGAUCGAUGUAUAGAUAUUUUAUCUUCUCAUCUUUGCCAUCUUUUCACAUCUUCGAUGAUCCUUACUCGCCUUGCGGUAAUCCUUCUGUACCAAGGAUAACGAAAUUCCUCACUGUCGAGGAUGAAACUUAGUGUAACAAGCACAUACAGUCCCUUAAGCUUAAUUUUACUCACCUUUCUUGCUUUAGGGAAGCGUCUUCCUAAAUUCCUUUUAAAGGGUAUUCUUCUGUCGUCCAUUUUAUUAUUUGGGGACACGAUCUCUGAAAUUCCCAUGAUGCCGACUAUUACUCAGUCCCUAGUUCAUGUUUAGUUUAUCUUGUUCAUCAAUCCAUGCUAAUUUCUUAUUACUCUAGGGUCUAACCUUUCUUUUUGGUAGUCGUGUUGGAGUCACGAACUUAAGGAUAUGACUUUAUGGCCUAUACUUUUUUGUUGACUCAAGGCAUGUCACCUCUCGUCCUUUCUUUCACUUGAAUAUACUCUAUAAUAUUGUCAUCUUUUUGAUAUAUCGUUGUUAUUCAUGUAUCAUAUCUUACUCAUAAUUUUUCAUUAACUCUUUUCUUAUUUCCCGCUAACAUUUAUGUCUAUAACUUUAUUCUGAAAACUUGAACAAGACAUUCUUUUGCUUUUAGCUCCUCUUUGCUACAUCUAGUGGCUCUUCGGGCUGCUUAACGUUCUCACUCUACUAGGGACGCGAGCAACACUAAGGUAAUAUUUAUCCCUUCCAAGCUUUUUAUGCCUAUCUUCUGAUUUUUUUUAUUUUUUUCAUGCUAAUAUUCACAUCUAAUCGUAAUAUUCUAGAGUGCACCAUCUGGGUGCCUCACAAGGAGAUCUAUUAGUGCAUUUGUAAUAUCCUUCGGAAAUAUCAACUAACACAAAUAAUCUAUUUACCAUUUUGGUUACUCUAACCCCAGCCAGAUCCUAAUAUCCUGUCCUUUUCUUAAACUACACAUUUUAGCCCCCAAUAGGGUAUAACUGAGAUGGGUGUGGCCAAUUCUACAUACAUCUGUUACUGUUGAAGGUAAGUCACAAUACUUAUACUUUUCUUGCGGAGUUGAAAAUACCGAUAAUCUUUAUUAACUGGAUACCUCGUAUCCUUCUCAUCUUUCUCCUUUUUCUUGUUGAAGCUUGUAUCUAUCUUCUGAAUCUCUCAUUGCCUUUCACCANNNNNNNNNNNNNNNNNNNNNNNNNNNNNNNNNNNNNNNNNNNNNNNNNNNNNNNNNNNNNNNNNNNNNNNNNNNNNNNNNNNNNNNNNNNNNNNNNNNNNNNNNNNNNNNNNNNNNNNNNNNNNNNNNNNNNNNNNNNNNNNNNNNNNNNNNNNNNNNNNNNNNNNNNNNNNNNNNNNNNNNNNNNNNNNNNNNNNNNNNNNNNNNNNNNNNNNNNNNNNNNNNNNNNNNNNNNNNNNNNNNNNNNNNNNNNNNNNNNNNNNNNNNNNNNNNNNNNNNNNNUACACAUCUAAAUCAUACUGACCAAACAAGCAACUCCGGAGCAAAUAGAGUGCACCAACAACUUCCACUGAGCUGAUUGCCUACUUGGAGGACUCUCAAACUGUCUAUAGAGACCUACGGGCAUGAAACGCAGCGUCCCCGGGCAAAAGAGACGUCAGUACAAAUAGUGUACUGAGUAUGUAAGGAAUGGAAAUCAGUAAAAAAUAGACAUGAGAAAAAUAUGGAGUAAAAGACUUGACAUGUACGUCUGCUUAGCUCUGUAAAUCAUUUCAUUUUUAUAUUUUCAUGCCUAUGCAUAUAAAUGUCAUAUCAUGCAUAGGUAUAUGUAUUCAUAACAUCAUCAAGCCUCUAAGGCCAUCACAUCAUAUCAUUUCGGCCACUAUGGACGAAUCAUCAACAUAUACCAGCUGACCAGGUGAUGGUGCGUAUAUAACGUCGUAACUUUUUCCCAUAUCCCAAUACAUAUAAUAUAAGCGUAUAUAACGCCAUCUGGUCAUGGGUUAAUGUACAUGUAUAAAUGCAUGAAAUGAAUAUGAAAUACGUUACAAGAUUUUUCAGAAUAUCAUAAAAUUAAUAUGCCUUUAAGAUAAACUUUAUUAAAUACGUAUUUUUCUCAUACCCAUGAACAGAAGAUAUAAUUAUAAUUCACACGGGGAAUCAAGAAUAUGGACACCCCUAGUAUUUCUAUGAAUAGAGUGAUUUAGGAAAGUUGUGUAUAUUGCUCAUUUCGUUUGUGUUGUAUAGAUCAUGCCAAAAAGAAAGAAUGGAUAGCCUUAAUAUACCUAAGUCAAUUCUCUUGACAAUCCCUCUAACACACGUCAAUUGCGACAACACAUAACGGCAAACCGAAGUAGAGAAAACUCUGUAUGAUAUUCUUGAGAAAGAUUGUACCGUGCUUCCUUAGAAUUGCAUCUCACACUGCUGUAGCAUUAUGAAAUUUCAUAUGAAUUCAUUUGGGAAUUCAUCAGAUACUUACUUAGCACAUACAUCUCUUAUAAUUGUGGUGUUAUCCAACCUAAUUCUUUGAAAAUAACGCAUGAAUUUAUAGGAUUUGAUCAGACGCCACAUUUGAAUGUGAACUCGACUUUGGUAAUCAAAUUGGGAUAUGGCUAGCUAGGAUGCAUUGUAUUUCCAAAUAAGAAACCAACCAAGGCACUUAGGUCAAAUUCUCUAAAUAAAGGAAAACGUGUAAUCAAGUUUUCUUUUGACUCACCAUGGACGUUUUACCACUUUGGCUUGGCUUAAUGCCAUGUGGCAACUCCAAAAGAAUAUCCUUAUUCACAUAAUCCUUCAUAAUACCACAAUUAUCCCUAUCAUCAAUCAAUUAUCCCCACAAUUAGGAAUUAUCUCAAAUUACUUAAAAUACUACUUACUUUUAACACACUUUAUACACCGUACUAUUAUGGUCAUGUGGUACAUUGUGUAGCACUAGUCCAUGAAUACAGAGUAUUAUAAUUGGACUGUAUUUUAUCUCAAAUUUCCAAACUUUGACGAAAUUCAUUUUCUUCUAUUUGCUUACCCUUUCACCUUCACGAAUUUACUCAUCACUUGUUUGAAAUAGCAUAGUGCUUAUAAUCUCAAAAUAAUCUCAUUCCUGAACUUACGCCGGUUAACUUACGAUGAAACUUCAACGUACGAAAAUGUGGGAUAUAAUUGUGCUACGUAUGCACGAGGUGACGAGAGUCGGUAUGUAACUAAAGCAUGCUUAUGUUCGGGUAGACUUAGUAUUUUAUCAUGUAAUAUUUGAAUUAUUUGAACUCAUUCUGCUGGCUUUAUUAAUUAAAAUUAUAAUUUAACUUGAUUUAGAAACACAUACGUAUAUAUAUUAGGCCGAGCCUUAUCAUCUCUAGUUGUCGGCAAGUUAUUGAGAAACGGUAAAAGUUAUGUUCGCUUUGUGCUAAUGUACUGUAUUGUGAGCACGUGCCUCGUAAUUUGAUAAUUACCUUCCUUUCUUGUGGAGCCAAAUGCCUCGGCAGUAAAAUAGAUGCAUCUAUGGUUCGUUCCGCUCGACUCUAGGCAGUGUACACAUUAUUAUGGAUCGGGUCAUACGACCUCGGCAUAAUCGUGUGUUAUAUCGCUAGCAGUAAGAAUCUUCACGAGACUAUCCUUCCAAUUAUGCUGGAUGAUAAGUAGGGAUUUUAACCUAUUAUUUGCUCUCUUUUACUUUCGUUUUGAGCCAAAAAUGCGUGAAGGUAUUCCCGGAAACUAAUGUAAUAUGCUUGCUAGCAGGGAUUGUUCAAAAUGAGCAAAAGGAGUCAAAAUCAACUAAUAAAGGAGUUAAAACCAGAACAAAAAUGAAGACUGGGCGAAGAAAUCUAAAACGCAGAACACACUAAUAUUGUGCUGCCGCGAUCAGAAAUAUGCGUUCCGCGAAAGGGAGAUUCAUAGAGUUGUAUUUUCAGGGUAAAUGACAAGCGCGAUCCGUGUCAGAAUUAAGCGGCCGCAAAAGUCCAUUAUGCGGCCGUGAUUGAAAUUAUCGGUUCGCAAAACUCAUCUCAACCUAGAUCCAGAUAAGAAGAAUGCAGAGCGCGGUUAGAAUUACGUGGCCGCAAAAUCAAGAAUCCGUUUGCGCUCAGAAUUACGCGGCCGCACAACCUUUGUAGGGAUAUUUUUGUCCGAAAAUUUUAGCGUAAUAUAAAUAGAUUUUUUGACAUUUUUAGGUCAUGUUAUGUAGCAGCAGAGCACGUGAGAUAGCUGGAUAUUCUGUUUUGGGCAAUUUUGUACUAGAAUUAUCUUUCAACAUUAGAUUUUCAUCUUUUGAUCUCGUAUUAUAAAUUUUAUCUUCAUUUCCUCUUUAAUUUAUGUUAUUUCCAUGAGUAGCUAAACCCAUAGCUAGGGUUGUGACCCAACCCUAGUGUGGUUAUUUGAUUUUAGGGCUUGCAUAUGUAUGAGUUAGUGAUAUUUAGCCUAGUUCGUGCUAGAACUAUAGAAUUAGUGGUUGCAAAUACUGAUUCAUGCGUUUAUGACUUAGUCUCUACUUGAGNNNNNNNNNNNNNNNNNNNNNNNNNNNNNNNNNNNNNNNNNNNNNNNNNNNNNNNNNNNNNNNNNNNNNNNNNNNNNNNNNAUAUUACGAUCCCAACUAAUCAUGAGCUUGCCCUAAAUUUUAGUAUACGUUAGAUAUCCACCUAGAUAGAAGUCACGACCCUAGUCUCUUUAAACAUUUGAAAAUCAACAAUAAAAAUAUUGUCCUUAUAUUCAAUUAUUGUAAUCUUUAGAAUAGAGUUAGAAGUAGAAAUCAAACCAAACAUGUGUGGAAGUGUAAUUAAGAGCAAAACCCACAUCUAGACUUAGAUAUAAACCUAAUUCCAAUUAUUAACUCCUUGUGGAUUCGAUCCCGACCUAGCUGGGUUAAAACUGCAUCGACCACCCUCUCUACUCAAUAGAAGUGUAGGCUUGGACCCGAUCAAUUUUUGGCGGCGUUGCCGAGGAGUUAGACGAUUUUAGCUAUAUAUCUAGGUAUUUGUGUGUUUUGUUUUUCUUUCCUUCCAUUUUUAUAAUUUAUGUGUGAAUUUCCGCCCUCAAAAAUUUGCCAUUGGGGAAGGAGGUCGAUGAUGAUCACGUGGAUGAGAUUCAACCUGAAUCUCAAGUACAAAGGACAGGCCGACUAUCUUAUGAUAAUAUUCCAAACACUCCCCCACCUCCUCUAAGGGCAGCACACCAGGUGUUACCUAACGAAGGCUAUGCAAGUGCAAUAGUCCCGCUUUGGAUUAGGGUGGGCAGCUUUCAAAUAACCAAUGCCAUGCUUACAUUGUUGGAACAAUGGGGUUUCUUCACUGGAGCUCCACACCAAAACGCCUACAAGCAUCUCAAAGGUUUUGUUGACACGCACUGGAGGAACAAGCAACCUAACGUCUUCGAUGACACAUUGAGGUAAAGGCUUUUCCUAUUUUAUCUAAGGGGGAAGGCUUUGGAUUGGCUAGAAAGGUUACCCAACCAUUCUAUCAUCACUUGGGAUGAGUUGGCCGAGAAGUUCAUCGCAAAAUGCUUUUCUCCGGGACAUAUGGCGACGCUAAGAGAUGAGAUCCUUGCUUUUAAACAAGAGCCAAAUGAACCGCUGAAUGAGAUUUGGGAAAGGUAUUGGACGAUGGUUAAAGAAUGUUCAAAUAAUGAUAUGACCGAAGCCAUGAUCCAACAAACAUUCUACCCUGGCAUCAACACAACAAAUCAAUGUGUGGUUAACCAACUCGGCGGAGGGAACUUCAGGAACACGCCAUAUGCCGAAGUGUGUGAAAUACUUGAUGAGAUGGCGGAUACAUCCUCGGUGUGGAAAAGUAGAGACAAUAUGCCACAAGGUGACCCUAAUGUUAUUCACCUACACAAGGAGCUACAUGACCAUGACCAAGCUAUAGUCGAGAUAACAACUACCAUGAACCAAUUGGCCAAAGCGCAUUUGUAAUAAGUUCAAGGGCCAAAAUAAGUGAAUGCCAUGGAAGAAGUGAAUAUGAUGAUCAACAAGAGAAGGCCACAAGGUCAACAAGUUCAAAACAAUCUGAAUCUCAAGUGAGUGCCAUUGUAUACUCCAUGGAUCCAAAGUUAGAAGACCCCGGUGCUUUUACAAUCACAUGCACUAUUGGUAAUGCCAAUUUCACCAAAGCUUUGUGUGACUUGAGGGUAAACAUUAACUUGAUGCCAUAUUAUUUAUUCAAGACAUUGGGGAUUGGGCAACCAAGACCCACAUCCAUGAGGUUGCAAAUAGAGGCCAUGACAAUGAAGAGGCAAUUGGGGAUAAUUGAUGAUGUGCUAGUUCGGGUCAACAAGUUCAUACUUCCCGUAGAUUUUGUGAUACUUGACUAUGAGGUUGACUACAAGGUGCCAAUCAUAUUGGGGAGACCUUUCCUAGCUACAGGGAAGGCCUUUAGUUGAUGUGGAAGCUGGGGAGCUCACCUUUCGUGUGGGCGAUGAAAAAGUUGUGUUCCAUGUUUGCAAGUCAAUGAGGCAGCCUAAUAGCAACGAAGUGUGUUCGUUUGUGGAUCUUGUGACCGAAGUGAUUGUUAAAGACACAAAGUGCUAUGAUUAAUGUGGAAGACCUAUUGGAAGCUGUGUUAUUGAAUCGUGAUGUGGAUGAGAAGGAAGGCUUGGUGGAAUAUGGCAAUGCUUUGCAAGGAAUGGGUUCAUAUACAUAUGAGCCCUAAAACUUUCCUUGGGCCUCGAGAACCGGAAGACUCCACCAACAAAGCCCUCGAUCGAGGAGCCUCAUACAUUGGAGUUGAAGCCCUUGCCUUCAAACCUCAGGUAUGAGUUCUUAGGCCCUUGUUCCACUUUUAUUCUUUCCUAAUGCUUAACUAACGUCCAGGUAGAAGCCACCCAUGUGGUGCUCCAAAGGAUCAAGAAGGCAAUAGGUUGGACAUUGGCGGAUAUUCGGGGUAUAAGCCCCGCCUUUUGCAUGAACAAAAUCAUAUUAGAGGAGGAUUUUAAACCCUCUGUGGAACAUCAAAGAAGGUUGAAUGAGGUCAUGCAAGAGGCAGUCAAGAAGGAGAUCAUCAAAUGGUUGGAUGCUGGGGUUGUCUACCCCAUUUCUGAUAGUUCAUGGACUUUAUCGGUGCAAUGUGUCCCAAAGAAGGGGGCAUGACUGUGAUUACAAAUGGCAACAAUGAGUUGAUUCCUACAAGAACUAUCACUGGUUAGAGAGUAUGCGUGAAUUACAGUUAGCUCAACAAAGUGACUCAGAAUACUAUCUUCCGCAUCCAUUUCUUGAUCAAAUGUUGGAUAGGUUAGAUGGACGUGCUUAUUAUUGCUUUUUGGAUGGGUAUUUCGGGAAUAACUAGAUUCUUAUUGCACCUGAAGACUAAGAGAAGACCACUUUCACUUGUCCAUAUGGCACAUUUGCAUUCUCAAGGAUGUCGUUUGGUUUAUGUAUUGCACCGGCUACUUUUCAGCGGUGUAUGAUGGAAAUAUUCACGGAUAUGGUAGAGGACUUCCUCGAGGUUUUCAUGGAUGAUUUCUCUAUUAUGGGGGAUUGAUUUGAUGCAUGUUUGGAUAAUCUAGAUAAAGUAUUGGCACGUUGUGAAAAGAACAACUUGGUACUUAAUUGGGAGAAGUGUCACUUUAUGGUUGAGGAGGACAUUUUUCUCGGCCAAAAUAUCUCCGAGAAUGGUAUUGAAGUGGAAAAAAAAAUUGAAGUGAUAUCAAAACUCCCUCCUCCUACUUCCGUCAAAGGAGUGAGGAGUUUUCUAGGGCACACGGGAUUUUACCAUCGGUUCAUCAAGGAUUUCUCAAAGGUGGUGAACCCCUUGUGCAAGUUAUUGGAAAAAGAUGCAAAAUUUAUGUUCAAUGAUGAUUGUAUGAAGGCAUUUGAGCUACUCAAGUAUAAUUGAUUAUCACUCCCAUCAUUACUGCACCAAAUUGGAGCUUACCAUUUUAGCUCAUGUGUGAUGCUAGCGAUGUGGCGAUAGGAGAAGUAUUGGGACAAAGAAUCAACAAGAUAUUCCAUCUGGUAUACUAUGCUAGUAAGACCAUGAACGAUGCUCAUAUCAACUAUACGGUGACCGAAAAAGAACUUUUAGCCAUUGUCUUUGCUAUGGAAAAGUUCUUCCCAUACCUCAUGGGUACCAAAGUGAUUGUUCACAUCGAUCACGUGGUGCUUCGUUAUUUGAUAAGUAAGAAGGACUCAAAGGCUAGGUUGAUGGGUGGGUACUUCUUCUACAAGAAUUUGAUCUUGAAAUCAUAGACCGAAAAUGGAGUGAGAAUCAAGUGGCGGACCACUUGUCCCGUUUGGAAGAGGUGGGGAGGCCCCAUGAUGACCUUGAGAUUAAUGAUUCAUUUCUGGAUGAACAACUUCUUUCCAUAUCUUUGACCAGGAUGCCUUUUUUUGCUAAUAUGGCUAACUAUCUUGUGAGCAGAACUGUCCCGAAUGAAUUCAUUUCAAACCAAAGAAAGAAGCUCAAACGGGACUGCUUGGAUUGUUAUUGGGACGAGCCAUAUAUUUUCAAAAUUUGCACCGAUGGUGUUAUUUUUAGAUGUGUUCAAGAAGAAGAGCAAUUGGGUAUUCUUAAAGCUUGCCUUUCUUUGCCCUAUGAUAGUGGGGCGAGAACUGCUACAAAGGUCCUAAGUUGUGGAUUCUAUUGGCCUACCUUGUACAAAGAUGCUAGCGAGCUUUUAAGCGGUGUGAUGAUUGCCAAAGGGCUGGUCGGAUUUCCAAGAAGAAUGAGAUGCCUCUCACCACCAUCCUUGAGAUUGAUAUCUUCGAUGUAUGGGGCAUCAACUUUAUGGGUCCAUUUGUGAGAUGCCUCUCACAACUGGAAAUGGGAUUUCCAAGAAGAAUGGGAUGCCUCUCACCACCAUCAUUGAGAUUGAUAUCUUCGAUGUAUGGGGCAUCGACUUUAUGGGUCCAUUUGUGAGUUCGUGUGGGAACACUUGUAUUCUUUUUGCUAUGGAUUACGUUUCCAAAUGGGUUGAAGCUGUGGCUUUGCCCAACAAUGAAGCGGUGGCCUUCUUGAAGAAAAACAUAUUCACUAGGUUCGGCACCCCAAGGGCCAUCAUUAGGGAUGGGGGUUCUCUCUUUUUUUUUCAAAAAAGCCUUUGACACUUUACUCUCCAAAUAUAGUGUCACUCACAAGGUGUCAACCCCCUAUCACCCCCAGGCAAAUGGACAGGUUGAAGUAUCCAACAGGGAGAUCAGGGGUAUUCUAUCCUAGACUGUCAAUGCAAACCGGACUGAUUGGUCAAGGAAAUAUGACGAUGCUUUAUAGGCAUAUAGAACAACUUACACGACUCCAAUUGGUAUGUCUCUGUAUCGGUUGGUAUUUGUGAAAGCAUAUCACCUUCCGGUGGAAUUAGAGCAUAAGGCCGUGUGGGCGUUGAAGAAGUUGAACCUUGAGUGGGAUGUAGUUUCCAAUCUUUAGGUGGAGCAAUUGAAUGAACUUGACAAGUUUCGGUUCCAUGCUUACUCCAGUUCAUCCUUGCAUAAGGACAAGAUGAAGUACCUACAUGAUAAGUAUAUUCGAAACAAAGAAUUCAAAGAGGGUGACCUUGUUCUCUUAUUCAACUCUCUAUUACAGAUGUUUCCGGGAAAGCUAAAGUCUAAGUGGAGCGGUCCCUUUGAAUUGGUGCAUGUGAUUCCUUUUAGUGCUCUUGAUUUGAAAAAAAGAAUGGUGAGAUCUUUAGAGUCAAUGGGCACCGAGUGAAGCACUACCUUGGUAAGGUUGAUGAUGGACAUGUUGUGGCAUUGAUCCAUUUCAAGUGAAUGAUGGAAACAUUCAUCGUGCCGUGAUGUUAAAUCAGGCGCUUCUUGGGAGGAAACCCAUUUAUUUUUAUUUCUUUUGAUUUUCUUCUUAGAGUAGGCAUUCUUUUGGACUAACUGGUUGUGAAGGGUGUGUAGGAAUUGGUUGUGCAGUGCAGGAAAUUAAUAAGGAAAAAGUUGGCUAAGUGGUAAAUCUUGCGGAUCGCGCUCAAAAUUAUGCGGACUGUGCAAGCACUUUGCGGUAUCACAAAUCUGUGCGUGGUCGUGCAGCUGAAAGAUGGAAAUUGCCGAAUCUCUAAAGUUGGCCGGUUGAAACUCCUUAAGACUUUGCGGCCGGGUUCAUAGUUUUGCGGUCGUGCGGCCGCUGCCAAUAUUUCGCGGACCGCGUCUAACUGAGCUACAAACAGGUAAAGAGUGCGGACCACGCCAAAAUUCCGCAGACAUACUCAGGUAAGUCAGUAGGGUCACUGGGUUUAGAGUAUACAUAUGACCUCUUGGAACUAUUCACACCUUACAAUCCCUGACUUCUCACACACACCUAAAACACUGUGCAUUUGUUCUUGCUUUCAAUCUCAUCCCAUUUUCAUUAAGUGUUCAUUUCCUACUUCUUUCACAACUGGUAUGAUUCUUUUCAAUGAUUUAAUUUCUUCUUUUUUCCUUUCUUUUAUCUUUGUUUUAGUUUUCUUUUUAUCUGGGGUUAAAUUCAUGCCAAAAUGUCGAAUUGAUGCUUAAAUCUUGCUUAAAAUCAUAUGGGUAGUGUUAAAAUGCAUAAUGGGGGCUGGGGUUAGUCCAUAAAUUUUGUUUAUUUAGUGAAAACCCUAGUAUCAGGUGUUCAUUAGUGCCGAUGUGAUUUGAACUUCACGGCCGCAGACAUUUUUGUGCGGUUCGCGAUAGGGUAUGCAGCCGCAUACAACAUUGUGUGGUCCGCGAUACCCUAGUUCAGAGGCACUAAUACUUGCUAGAUUUCGUGGACGGGGUCACUUUUGUGCAGUCCGCGAGUGAUCUUUCGCGGCCGCACUCAAUUUUAUGCGGUCUGCGCUUGUUACUUCAGAGACUCAUUGAUUUGUUUCCGCGGCUGCACCCAAAAUUGUGUGUCUCGCGAUGGUUCUUUUGCAACCGCAUUCACUUUUAUGCGGUUUGCAGUAGAUCAACUUCAGAGAGCCAAUAGUCUGAGCCUAAUCUCUUCACGACUGCGUUCACUUUUAUGCGGUCCGCGAUGGGCAGUUCGUGGCUGCACUUACUUUUGUGUGAUCCGCGCUGCCCUGUUUUGAGAAGUAUUGACUUUCAUUUCUUUUGUAAUGCUUUAACACAUGUUGAACCCCAAUCAUAACUAAUUUUCACUACUUGUAUGUUGCAGAAAAUGUUGCGUUCCCGAGGUAUAGGUGAUACUUCAAAAGGGAGGGCAGAGCCCUCCCGAGGAUGGGGUUGGGACAAACCCAACAUACCUCUACCAGUCCAAAAAGUAAUCGGCAAGAAGGAAACCGCCAAUAGAGCCCCGAACACUUCAGACAGUAGUAAAUAUGUCCCAUACGAGGAGGCUUUUGAAGGAAACUCUGGGCAGGCACAGCCAGAAGUCCAGUCCCAACAAAUUCUAGGGAGAUUGCAUUUGGUUGAUAAGUCUUCCUCCUCUCAGGGUUCGGAAGAGGGAAGUGAAGAUUCUUAACCCUCCCCCUCAUAUGCUGCCUCAAUAUCAAUCAAUUUAGAUGAUGAUGACGAAGUCCUGGAUGACGGGAGAGGGGGUGAUACAGUUAUGGGAGGCUUAGCUAGAUCAAGGAACCCGGAGGUGUGGGCGGAUAGGUUUGUUAGUGAGAAAGCUUAUGCCAAAUUUUGGGAAUGGUGGACCCAAAGAUCUCUCACUCUUGAGUGACAAUUCAUAACCAAAGACGUGAGCCAACACAAUCCAAAUGUCCUAAAGCAAUUCUUAGAGAGAAAAAAAUGGAAUUGGUUCUCCGGUCAUCUGCAUGAUGCCAAUGAAUACCUCGUCAAGGAGUUUUAUGCCAAUGUUUCCCACAUCAAAAAGGGUACAAAAGUGACGAAGGUCCGAAAUUUGAAACUCCGAUUUGAUGGCCAAGCACUGAACAUAUAUGUAGGGUUUGAGGAGGUUGAGUCAGCGCAAUACUUGGAGAAGCUAGCCUUGGGUGAGGCAGUUCGCCCAUGGCUAGCUGAGUUACUUGCUAUUUCGGGGUCGACACCUGUAUGGUUCACAGCAGGAGUGCCAAUCCUCAGAAACACCCUUAACUUUGAAGCAAAAGUGUGGCAAACAUUUGUGUGCAGCCGUCUUGACCCUUGCCUGCAUGACCAUGUCCUUCCACUUUCCCAAGAGGUGUUGGUAGCUUCUAUCAUGGCAGGAUAUCCUAUAAUUGUAAGAAACUUGAUGUCCUACAACAUCUCCAAUGCAGUAUAUAAAGAAGAAAGAUCUUAUCCCUACCCAACUUCCUGACUGACUACUUCAAGGAACAAGGGGUUGAGCUGAGAUACUUUAAUGCGGAGGUGAAGGCUAAAAAGCCUUUCUCAUAGUAUACCCUCUAGGGACCGGACAACCCUAAAUUCAAGGGAAAAGCCACUACCUCCACUGGCUAGUCUAAAGAGCCAGGGGUAGUGGCCACAGGACUAGUUAUCGAGCCCUUCACAGCCACCGGUACUUCUACCGGAGCAUCAAGUAUGCCUCCUCCAUCUUCAGUGCCACUAUCAAUGCCUUUAUAUUCUACCUACCCUCAGACUGCACUGAGGGUUUCCCAGACACUGUUUAGUCUCAACAACUGGAUGCAGGCAGCUACCACAAAGCUGACUGCCUUAUCCAGUGCAGUGGCAGCACAGUCUUCAGUCCCAGCAUAGCUUCAGGUACCUCCAUCAGUAGAAGACUUAUUGAAGAAGAUUCUGGACAACCAGAAGAAGAUUCUGGAUGACCAGAAGAAGAUCAGGGAGACUCUUGAUGCACAUGGAAGGUAAUCAAGGAUCUAGGGAAGCAAGUGAGGAAGGCGAAGAAGACUCAAAAGGAAUCGAUCGGGAAGUUGGCUAAGGAGACUGAGAAGAUUUCACAUGCAGGAGACUUGACAAUAGACCUUUUGAUGGAGAAGACAGUCCCAGCAGCACAUGCAGCAGAGCCUGAGGCACCAGGGAUAGCAGCCGGCCAGUCUGAGGAGCUAGCUGCAGCAUCACACACUGCUGAGGAGCUGAUCCAGAUACUCAGCAACCCUGUAGUCCCCCAGUCAGAGGAUCAGGAGAUACAGUUAGAGGAUGCUGAGGACAUUGUUCAGGCUAAGGACCCGAUGCAGACAGAGACCGCAUAUGGAGUUUUCUUUACUCUUUACCCCAUUUUCCCUGUUCUUAUUUGUUAUUAGCAUUGAGGAUAUUGCUAUCUUUCAUUUGGGGGGUGGUCCAUUUUGAUUUAUGACAUUUGGUAUGUAAUAACCAUUACACUAUUUUUCUUUAUCGUUAUUUUCACUUUUGGUAUGUAUAUAUUUUUACCAUUUGAUGUAUAUAUUCAUUUACAUUUAUGUAUAUAUUCGCUUAACUUCAAGUUUGUAUAUAUUCAGUUUAAUUUUCAUAGUUUACUUCAUAUCUUCUUUCGUUAUUUUCCCUUAUUAGCAUAGCUUCUUAUUUCCUUUAGUAGCUUCUUUUUAAGUGGUUAGCUUCUUCUUUUAUGUUUAUUCUGAACAAUAAGCUUUUUGUUUUCUUAAUGCCAUGGUUCUUUCCAAAGGUGGAUGUUGUGUGAACCGUGUGGUUCUUCCCAACGAUGGAUGGCGUGACAACCUUCUUAAGGGAUUGAGUCCAUUUUAUUUAUGUUUUGAUGUAAAUAGUAGUGAUGAAUAAAAGUAUCUCAAGCAGGCUUCACUUGGUACUAACACAUUUAUCUUUGAGCUUAUGGUUAGAAACAAGUUGAUUGGCAAAGAAUAGUUCUACUUGUGACCUUUAGACUCUUGUGUUGACUAAAACAAUCAUCGAGUGGUUUCUUUGAGCCAUUUGAGAUGUUCAAUCUUAGCUAGGGUUGUUGUGGGACCUCGACUCUGUCUCUUUAAAAAUCCAGCAGCUUGAGAGGUGAGGUAUUGAAUGCAAGUCUAAGUUCCGUGCCAAUAAGUCUAGAACUUGCUCUGAAUGUUUGUCUAAGAGAAAUUCUAAGUGUAGCUCGACUUGAGAAAUGAUUGUAGCCUCUCCUUGAUCCAACUUGAAACUUGAAAGCUUUCGUAGCCUACCAAUAUGAUAUCCCUAGUCAACCCCUUUGAGACGAAGCCCUUUUUCUUUCAAUAACCACGUUACAAGCCUUUAUCCAUUCUAUAAUGACCCUCUCUUGGCACCCGAUCUUUCCUUGGCAUUUCUUGAUAGACAAGUGGCAAAAGUAUAAGUUUGGGGGAGAGACGAGGAAUGUGAAAGUGAUAAAAGGUACAAAGAACAAAAAGAAAUGAAAAAAAGGGAAGGAAAAGGAAAAGAAAGAAAAUCCAAAAAGAAAUAUGUCAAAAAGAAAGUGAAUAAGAUAGAAAAGUGAAGGGAUUCAAAGAAAGCAAUGAUAAAAGGCAUGGAAUGAUUAGAAAAGGAGAAAAAUGAUUGUCAUGAGCAAGAAAGAGUGACAGUGUGUCUCUCUAGUUCCCCUAAGGAAGAAGAAAAUGACUCAAAGAGUCAAGAAAGUAUGAGCCAAAAUGAGAAAAUGGAGUGCUUAAGGAAAGAUGAAACCAUCAUAUGCCGAUAAGUCCUACCUUGAUCCAAAAGUCUUCAUUAUAUUCACGCAAAACCCUAUAUGAUUUCGAGUUGAGUGAGCUUAUAUUAGUUGGGAUUUACAUAAGAGGCAAGCUUAUGGUACUUAGAGCCGGACUUGUGGCAUUCUUUUGAGAGAGAUGAGCGUACUUCUUCACAAUCCUUGUUUUUUGAGUGUUAUGAUUCUAAAGUGAGAUUUGCUUAUGGAGAGUAGAGGAGAAGGAAUUUGGGUUCCACAAUGACCUACGUAAUAGAGCGAGUUUCCUUGGUGAACUAAGUCAAUUCUUGAUGCUCUAGUAUCGCAUUAGAACUAUGGUACUCAAAAGGUAAAAACAUUGUGUUAUUGAUAAUUCAUUUGUGUUGAAGGUAAUUGUUCGUCCCAAUUGAUGCAUGAUUGGUUCACCUUAGGGCAGCUGAACUAUCCUUCUAUUUUAGUGGAGGUGGGAAUUACCUUUUUUUUAGGACAAGCAAAAGUUUAAGUUUGGGGGAGUUGAUAAGUAGGGAUUUUAACCUAUUAUUUGCUCUCUUUUACUUGUAUUUUGAGCCAAAAAUGCAUGAAGGUAUUCCUGAAAACUAAUGUAAUAUGCUUUCUUGCAGGGACUGUUCUAAAUGAGCAAAAGGAUUCAUAAUCAACUAAUAAAGGAGUCAAAACCUGAACAAAAACCAAGACUGGGCGAAGAAAUCUAAAAUGCGGACUCCAUUAAUAUUUUGCGGCCGCAAAAGCCACAAUGCGACAGUGAUCAGAAAUACGCAAUCCGUGAAAGGGAGAUUCAGAGAGUUGUAUUUUCAGGGUAAAUGACAAGCGCGGUCCGCGUCAGAAUUACGCGGCCGUAGAAGUUCAUUACGCGACCGCGAUUGAAAUUAUGCGGCCCAUGAAACUCAUCUCAACCCAGAUCCAGAUUUGAAGAACGCGGAGCGUGGUGAGAAUUACACGGCUGCAAAAGCAAGAAUGCGGCCGCGCUCAGAAUUACGUGGCCGCACAAGCUCUAUAGGGGUAUUUUUGUCCGAAAAUUUCAACUCAGUAUAAAUAGAUCUUUUUGACAUUUGUAGGUCAUGUUAUGUAUCAGCAAAGCACGUGACGGCUGGAUAUUCCGUUUUGGGAAAUUUUGUACUAGAAUUAUCUUUCAACAUUAGAUUUUCAUCUUUUAAUCUAGUAUUAUGAAUUUUAUCCUGAUUUCCUCUUUAAUUUUUGCUAUUUCCAUGAGUAGCUAAACUCAUAGCUAGGGUUGUGACUCAACCCUAGUGUGGGUAUUUGAUUUUAAGGCUUUCAUGUGUAUGGAUUAGUGAUAUUUAGCCUAGUUCUUGCUAGAACUAUAGAAUUAGUUGUUGCAAAUACUAAUUCAUGUGUUUGUGACUUAGUCUCUACUUAAGAAAGAGGGACUAAGUCUAGGAAAACUAAGCUAACAAGCAAUUGGGUAAACUCAAGAAAUUGAUAGCCCCAAUUAAAAGGUUAAACCUAGAGAUAGUAAUACCCGACUUGAGCUAAUAUCACUUGAAUUGCAUGAAUACCUAUUUGGACUUGAGAAAGCCAAAUUGGGCAAAAUCAUUCAAAUUACAUAGAGGUAUAGAGUGAGUACCCGGGUGUGAUAGCUAUAUUACGAUCCCAACUAACGAGCUUACCCUAGAUUUUACUAUCCGUUAGAUAUUCACCUAGGUAGAAGUCAUGACCCUAGUCUCUUUAAACAUUUGAAAACCAACAACAAAAAUAUUGUCCUUAGAUUCACUUAUUGCAAUCUUUAGAAUAGAGUUAGAAGUAGAAAUCAAACCAAACAUGUGUGGAAGUGUAAUUAAUAGCAAAACCCGCAUCUAGACUUAGAUAUAAACCUAAUUCCAAUUAUUAACUUCCUAUGGAUUCGAUCCCGACCUAGUAGGGUUAAAACAACAUCGACCAUCCUCUCUACUCAAUAGUUGUGUAGGCUUGGACCCGAUCACUCGGCACUUCAUAUUGUAUUUCUUUAUACAUUUGAUACUGGCUCUUGAUAUAUCUGAGUUGUUGAGAUAGAAAUAUGAGACUAAGAUAUUUAUAUAUAUAAAAGAAAUUUUUAGAAGAUUAUGUGAUUUACGGUGUUACCCUAUUGUUGUUGUUGUGCUUUACAUCUGCUUAUGAUUUACCAUAUUGCUUUAUUGGACCUCUAGUAAGUGUCGAUGUCGACCCCUCGUUACUACUUCUCCGGGGUUGGGCUAGAUACUCACUAGAUACGCAUUGAUUUACAUACUCAUGAUGCACUUCUGCACUAAUAUGCAGGAUCUAAUACGUUUAAUUGGUGGUCAUCUUGGGUGCGUAGGCGUAGCUGCUGAGGAGACUUUAUGGUGAGCUACAAAUUCUAGGCUACAUAUCGCAACCCAUAGAGUCUCCAUCGUACUAUUUACUUAUUCCUAUAUUAUUCAUAUUCUAGAAAAAUUUAUAUUAUUUUGUACUCUUUAGUAAAUGCUCAUGCACAUGUAACACCGGGUUUUGAGGUAUUCAGUAAAUUGUUUGUGGUUUGCCUAGCAUUUACACUCUUUUGUUAUUUAUUCUAUUUAAAUUGUAAGUUGCCAUGAUUUUAAGUGUUGAUUUCUUUAUCUAAUAAGAUUCACAAUUUCGAAAGUAAUAAAAAUGAAUAAUUACGUGUUGGCUAGCCCAACAGCGACGUUGGGCGCAAUCAAGACCUAUAGUGGAUUUUGGGUCGUGACAACUUGGAAUCAGAGCUCUAGGUUCACUUGAGUCUUACAAGUCAUGAGCAAGUCUAGUAUAGUCUUGCGGAUCGGUACGGAGACGUCGGUACUUAUAUUCGAGAGGCUACAGGGAUGUUAAGAGCACUUCCCUUCUUGAUUCCUCAUCGUGUGAUUUGAUUCCUUUGAGGUUUAUUCCUUUAUUUCCUUCUUACUCAAUCUUAUGCAAUGUGAAGUGCUUGUUAUCAAUAGGGAAUCAAGGAGUUGUAGUGGUACUGCAGACUUGGUUCAGGAUGUUGUGACGUCCCAAAUUACCUCCUGAUGUGACUGGCACCCAGCUAACACCACUUGCCAGGCAAACCCAUUUCUCUAACGUUUAAUCAUUUAUACAAACACCGAGAGAAAAAGUGCAGGCCUAAAAGUACUAUUAAUAAUUAAAGAGAAAAUGAUUAUCGCCCAAUACCUUAGUCAAUUGAUAGAAAAACCAACAAUCACUCAAAUAAUAAAACUCUAGCCCAAAUCCCACACUAAGACCAUAGAGCAUCUAACAGAGUAAUAUGAGUUUUAUUGACGGGUAUGCAAACCCCAAAGAAAAAGGAAAUAACUAACCCAAAUUAAGUCUAAAACGAAAGCCUCCGCGAAUAAUGUGGUGGCUCACCUCAACAAUAGGAUCCACUCAAAUAAACUCGUCAGCCACUAGCUCUAUCUCCCGAAACAGUAUCUGCAUAGAGAUGCAGGUAAGGAAUGCGUUAUACGUAAAUAUAACCCAGUAAGAUCUUUGAUCCGCCACUUUAAAUACCUCUGGAACAAGUGUUAAAAAAUACAAACACACCACAACACGAAUGAUAUAGUAAAUAUGAUAAUUAUAUAAUAACUCAAUAUAUGUGUAUCAAUAUUUUUAAUAAGAAUUAACCAACAAGAGUACCCACUAAGGACUUGUCCUAAUUGCAGUGAAACAAAUUUACCAACACAUCUACGAGUCCACAACGGCACCACAAUACCUCAAAUAUGUAACAAAUCUACACAAUGCUCACUGAAACAUACACAAUGCCCCAAAUAUAUCAAGAAGCAUACACAAUGCUCGGGUGAUGAAUAAAGGCAUACACAAUGCCCCAAAUAUAUCAAGAAGCAUACACAAUACUCGGGUGAUGUAUAAAGGCAUACACAAUGCCCCAACAUCAUGGCGCACAACUUAUCAAACACAAUACCAUGGCUCACAGCUGUAUCAAACUAUCAAACUCAACAUCAUGGCGCACAACCAUAUCAAACUCAACACCAUGGCUCACAGCCGUAUCAAACUAUCAAACUCAACAUCAUGGUGCACAGCCGUAUCAAACUCAACACCAUGGCUCACAGCCGUAUCAAACUAUCAAACUCAACAUCAUGGCUCACAGCCAUAUCAUGCCAUCAAACAACUUAUAAAAUAUUUUUUUUUUGUAUUUUUUAUAAAAAUAUAUAUUUGCGGAUAGUCUAAGACCACCGAUUCUGCCAAGCGCACGCUUGUCCCAACACAUGGGUCAGGCAGAAAAAAACACAUUUUUAAAACGGAUUUUAGAAAAGUAAGCAUUAAAUCUUAAAGUCUCACUUACCUCGCUAAUAAAAAGUUCCCUAACCUUGCAACGUCUAAAACACUAACCAAACGGCCUCCAAUGGCCUCAAUCUAUUCAAAAUAUUGAAUAACAUAUCUUAAUUAGUCUAGGUGCAUGAUUUCAAUACUCUUAGGGCAAGUUAAAAUCAAAGUUAACCCCCCAGUCUAAUUAAUAAAAGUUUGUACACAAUUAAAUACCAAAUCAAGCACUUUAGCAGUGCAAAAAAAAUCUGAAUUGUGGCUUCUAAAGUUUCGAAGUGCUACUACUUACGCUUGAAAUUCACCACUAUUUUGUUAUACCAUUUCACAUGCCAUCAUCCUUACACAAUAAUAUGCCUUCCUCAUUAUUAGACAAUCAAUGGGUGGCAAUUAUGCCUUACAUUAAAAAUUAAAGAGCAUGGAUUGUAGUAGCAGAAUUCGAAAGCUUAUUUACAGUAGCUUUCCAUGGCGGUUGCCUUUCAAAAAUCAAUUUUUCAUUCCACUAAUUACUCAAAUCAUAAGCAAGUUGUGUUUGUCCCCCAUCAUUAACCUAAUUAUUGUAAUUCAUAAUCAUUUAUAAAGAGCAACGGAAACUGGAGUACUCACCAAGUAUCCAAAAAUUAUUUCUUAUGGCAAGAUUUCAAUCCACUAGUCAUUAAUUCAUUACUACUAUUAAUCAUGAUGAUUCUAAGUUCUAUUCUGAAGUUUAAUUUCUUUUACAAACUCACCUCUGGUUCUAUGAAAAGAUUCCAACCAUGAUAGUAAUCAUUAUAAUGAUAUAAUGAUUUAAAUUGGAUAUAUAGGAGAAUGAUAUGCAUAUACCUUGUUAUAAUUUCCUCCCCAAACUCUUUCCAACUGUGAUAGGUGCAGUAGUAUGCCCUAGAACUCUUUCUCGUGGUUUUAGCUUUUUGAUUUUUCUCUCUCUCUCUCUCUCAUAAUUAUGACCUAAUUUACUCCUUUUCCUUGCACCUUAGGUUUUUGAACGUGGGCCACGUAUGGGUUUAGCCUAUUAUUUUUUACUAUUAUUUAAUGUCCUAAAUAUUUUAUUAUCCAAUCUAAUAUAUGUAGUAGUAAAUUAGGCUCACUAACCAUUAAAUAAAUUUUAAAACUCACACAUUAACAAGUAUGUAUAAAAAUUUCAGAAUUGCAUUCUCCCCCACUUAAACGAGCGUUCGUCCUCGAACGAGUUAGAAAAUGUACCAGGCAUCUCAAACAACUGGGGGUACUUGCUUCGUAUGUACACUUCAGACUCCCACAUAACUUUCUAUGUUUGAUGAUUACGCCAUAAUACUUUCACUGAAGCAAUCUUCUUCGAUCUCAAUUGCCGCACUUGCCUAUCACGAAUAGUUAUCGGACAUCCUUCAUAAGUUAAGUUCUCAUCAAGAUCCACAUGCUCGGGCUGAAUCUUAUGACUAUCCUCACGAACAUAUCAUCUAAGCAUAGAUACACAAAAAAUAGGAUGAACUGUAGACAACCUCGGAGGUAAAGCAAGUCUAUAUGCUACUGAUCUAAUUCGAUCUAAAAUCUCAUACGGACCAAUAUACCUCGGACUUAGCUUGCCUCUACGCCCGAAUCUCAUGACUCCUUUCAUGGGUGACAUCUUCAAAAAUACUUGUUCUCCCCUCAUGAACUCCAAAUCACGAACUCGCUUAUCUGCAUAGGACUUUUCUCUGCUUUGUGAUGUUCAAAGUCGUUCUCGUAUCAAUGCUACCUUCUCCAAAGCUUGCUGAACCAAAUCCGGACCCAAUAGUUGUGCUUCACCAAGUUCAAACCAUCCAACUAGUGAACGACACUUACGACCAUAUAGGGCUUCAAACGACGCCAUUUGAAUACUCGACUAGUAGUUGUUAUUAUAAGCAAACUCUGUUAACGGGAAUUGAUCAUCCCAAUUACCACCAAAAUCAAUCGCACAAGCUCUAAGCAUGUCUUCUAAGAUCUGAAUAACCCGUUCGGAUUGUCUGUUCGUUUGUGGAUGGAAAGCUAUGCUCAACUCAACCUGAGAACCAAAGGACUUCUGAAGGACUUCCAAAACCCAGCAGUAAAGUAUGCACUCCCAUCUGAUAUUAUAGAAAUGGGCACACCAUGAAGUCAAACUAUCUCACGAAGGUAGAUAUGUGCCAAUUAUUCUGCAGUGUGAGUAACUCGAACCAAUAUAAAAUGCGUGGACUUUGUGACUCUGUCCACGAUCACCCAUACUAAAUCAUGUUUUCUAAAAGUACGUGGCAACUCAACUACAAAAUCUAUAGUAAUCAUUUCUCACUUCCACUCCGGGAUAAUUAAAUUCUGCAUCACACCGCUUGAUUUUUGGUGUUCAUAUUUUACCUGCUGACAAUUUAAGAAACUAGUUACAUGUUUCAAAAUAUCAUACUUCAUACCUUUCCACCAGUAUAAUAGUCGCAAGUCUUGAUACAUUUUAGUAGCACCUGGAUGGAUAGAGUAGUGGGAGCUAUGAGCCUCUUCAAGAAUCAUCUGCUUCACAUCAUCCACCAUAAGGAUGAAUAAUCUACAAUGUCUACAUAACACACCUUCACUAUCAAUAGCAAAUGACUUAAUACCACCAUUAUGUACUCGAUCUCGGAGUCUAGCAAGAUGGGGAUCUUCAUAUUGACGAGCAUUGAAAUGUCCAACCAAGGACGAUUGUGCUACCAAACCUGCAAGUAACAUGCUCGGUACUGUAUGAUCAAUACACAAUCCCCAAUUGGCCAAGUACUAAAUAUCCAUAACAAUAGGCCGUUCUCCAGCAAUAAAUCGGGCAAAACUACCCAUAGACUUCCCACUCAAGGCGUCUGUCACCACAUUCGCCUUCCCAGUAUGAUAUAAAAUAGUAAGAUCAUAAUCUUUAAGUAAUUGUAAUGACCGUCUCUGCCUAAAUUUAAAUAUCUUUGCUUGAAUAUAUAUUGCAGACUCUUGUGAUCAGCAUAGAUUUCACAUGGCUCACCAUAAAGAUAGUGGCGCCCUAUCUUAACUACAAAUAUGAUCGCAGGCAAUUCUAAGUCAGGAGUCUGAUAAUUCGUUUCAUGGUUCUUUAGCUGUCAAGAAGCAUAUGCUACCACCUUGCCAUUAUACAUCAGCACACAACCCAAACUAACUCUAGACGCAUCACAAUAAAUAGUAAAACCACUUGACCUGUAGGUAGUGUCAAAACUGGAGUUGUAGUCAAUGCGGUAUUCAAUUUCUAAAAACUUUAUUCACUCUUAGGUGACCACUGAAAUGCAACACCUUUCUGAGUUAAUCGUGUCAAUGGAGCAGCCUUUGAGAAACUCUCAACAAACUUUAUGUAAUAUCCGGCUAGGCCCAAGCAGCUACAUAUCUCUGUAGGAGUAGUGGGUCGAGGCCAUUUCUCGAACUACCUCUAUCUUCUUUGGAUCAACUUAAAUUCCCUCUCGUGACACCACAUGUACCAAAAUGGAAACUUUACCCAACCAAAAUUCACACUUUGAGAACUUGGCAUAAAGUGUUCGUUCUCUCAGUGUCUGUAGCACAACUCUCAAGUGUUGUUCAUGUUCUGCCUCACUUCGAGAGUAGACCAAAAUGUCAUCAAUAAAUACAAUCACAAAAUGAUCUAAGAAUGGCUUGAAUACUCUAUGUGGUCCAUAAAGGUUGUGGGGGCAUUAGUAAGACUGAAGGACAUUACCAAAAAUUUAAAAUGUUUGUACCUUGUCCAAAAAGCUAUCUUGGAUAUAUCCUCGGUCUUAACUCUCAGCUAAUGGUAACCCGAUCUCAAGUCAAUUUUUGAUAAAUUAGUAGCACCCUGUAGAUGGUCGAAUAAAUCAUCAAUACAUGGCAAAGGAUAUUUAUUCUUCAUCAUCACCUUAUUCAGUUGCUUGUAAUCAAAACACAUUCUCAUCGUGCCAUCUUUCUUUUUCACAAAUAGCACAGGUGCACCCCAAUGUGAUAUACUAGUCCUGAUGAAUCCCUUAUCAAGUAGCUUUUGAAGUUGAACCUUUAAUUGUAGUAACUCAGAUGGAGCCAUCUGGUAUAGAGAAAUAGAGAUAGGUCGAUUUCCUAGCACCAAAUGAGUACUUAACUCAAUUUCUCUCGUUGGAGAUAGCCCGGUUAAAUCUUCUGGAAAAACAUCAGCAAAUUCUCGAACCACUGGAACGCUGUCAAUAGUAACAUCAUCCGAUCAGGUAUCAUGAACGGUAUCAAUAAAACCCAAACACCCAUUAUUAAUCAUUCGACGUGCUUUUACAUAAGAUAUUAUCUUUCCCUGAGUCAGUGGAGUUAUUCCCUUCCACACUAAACAAGGUUCCAUGGGAAAAUCAAUGUGUAAGUUUGGCAUGAUAAUCAAUUGAAGAAUAACAUGACGCUAACUAAUCCAUACCCAUAACACACUAGUAUAUCAACUACUGUUUCCUUGCCCUAAAUAAAUAUCACACAAUCUCUUUAGACUCUAUCCACAUAUAUAGUCUCCCCCCUCAGGGUCACCAUGAUAUAUGGCACAUUAAGAGAUUCACCUCCUCGUUCUAAGUAUAUAGCAAAAGAUGGGGAUACAUAUGAAUAUGUAGAACUAGGAUCAAUAAGAGCAUAAGCCCCAUAAGAACUGAUAGUGAUAAUACAUGUGACUACUGCAUUGGAUGCCUCGGCAUCCUGCCUAGACAUAGAAAAGUAUCUCGACAGUCCACCCACUCCCUGAGCAGCCUGUACACCCUAUCGACCCUGUCCACGAGCAACCUGCGGAGCGGCUCUAGUUGGCUAAGUCUAAACAUGUCUACCUGUAACAUUUCUCUGAGGAUGUGGGGUAGAAUGGCUAGUAGCAGAAUUUCCUCUAGGACAAUACUUCGCCAAUAUGCCCUUUCUAACCACAAGUAAAACAAGCCCCAUCUGUUCCAAAACAACAACCACUGUGAUUUCUACCACAAUUCAACACCUCGGAUGUUGACCAGACUGAUAUGAGCUAUUAUCCUUCCUUUGUAUCUGUUGCUUCCCAUGUCUAGCUGGAUAGGUACUCCUAGAAGAUUGCACCAUUGACUCAAACUGAGUACAUCUGGACUGCCCACGAUUAAAACCACUCUUGCCCCCUAAUGGAGCUCCACUAAACCCGCCGGCGCUACGAGUCCUUUUGCUUUCUCGCUCGAUCAUGUCACUCUCCUGAUAGGACUCAUAACGGAGAGCAAUGUCAACUACCUCUUCAUAUGAACCACCUCGAACAUCACUAACCACCGGUACACAGUAACGAUGCUCAAGCCUGUCCACAACCCUCCUCACCUUCACAUGCUCGUCUGCAACUAAAAAAGGUGCAUAACUGGCUAAGUCAGUGAACUUAGCCUCAUGCUCGGUAACUAUCAUAUUGACCUAGCGCAGUUGCUCGAACUAACAUCUCAUGUCUUCUCUCUUGCUCAGUGGAAUGAACCUAUCCAUAAAUAUAGCUAAAAACUCUGACCAAGUAAGAGUUGUGGGCAUGUAUGACUUGUAAGGAGCCUACCCCUUGUAAGGAGCCUGUUAAUGAUGUAGAUGAGACUAGAUCACUUGAUGUUUAUAUGUGGUGUAGUUGAAAGCAUAUGGAGUAAGCUGCUCACCUGGCAAGGCAUAACAAGGCCUGCAAUGGAGUGACAUAGGGAGAUACGAUGGGUAGAAGACAAUGCAAAAGGAAACACUACAGCUGCACAACUAUACAGAUUGACAUUGGCAUGUGAUGUAUAUAAUAUAUGGAAGGAACAAAACAGGAGAGUAUUUCAAGAGCAAUAGAAGACACCGGGAAUGAUAGUUAGGCAUAUUGUGCAAGAGGUUGUUAACAUGGGAUCAAAAAAGAGCAAACAAGAGAAGAAAAUAGCUGAAAUGAAUUUCUAUCCUUAGGCUUUAGUACAGAUGUUGAGUUGUUGAAGUUGUAUGAGAUCGGGUUGUCCAGCCUCAGUUUUGACAUUAUACAUAUUGAUACUGGUAAAUAAAAUUAUUUAAUUACCAAAAAAAUAGUUUUCAACCCUGCUCGUCUACCUCUCUGAAUUGAAUGCCACCACGACUCUUCAGAACCUGAAAAUAGAAAAGUGGCAAAUUCCACCACUCGAGUCUCCUUCAGCCUUAAUGUAGUUAGUAUCUUUUCACAAUACUGAAUGAACUUCUAGGGCUCAAUAUAAGCAUGUGUAGCGUCGAACUCUGGUGGCUUAAGAUCCAUAAAAUUCUUAAGAUCCUUAGACUUCCCUGCAUUUGUAACUUGUUGAACAACCUGCUGAGAGGCCAUCUCAGGAGCUGCAACAUUCAGCUAAACCUGUGCUUGCGCCUGCGAAGUAGUCUGGGGAGCUGGAAGUCCACCCUGAGUAGGUACUAAUGCCUCUAAUACAUUCAACAACCUCACCACUGCAUCUGCAGGUAGGGUAAUAGUAGGCACAGCAGCAGGCACUGGUGGUGGAGCAUCAUGAACCACAUAUUCUUACACUCGAUCCAGCAUAGUAGCUUGGGGUUGACCCGUGUUCACAACUUCAAGAUGCGGAGCAGCCUGUCUACUAGUUUGAUGAGCCACAACUUGACCGCCAUAUCGAGUAGUUCUCUGUCUUGCACCACGUCUAGAAGAUGAAAGUGUGAAUGUCCUAUACAUCUGCGAAAGAAAUCCUCCAAAGUCAAACUCAAGAUAUCUCAAUGCACGAUCAAGGUAUGAAAGAAGGGAAAAUAUUCUAAAUGCUUAGUAGCAGAUCAUAAGCAUGGGCGCCUACAUACCCAUGAACAAGACUCUACUAAAUAGUGCUCUAUGACCUGGGACUUAAAGCCUAUGCUCUGAUACCAACUUUGUCAUGUCCCAAACUACACCCUAGACGUGACUGGCACCCAGCUAACACCACCUGCCAGGCAAACCUCUUUCUCUAACGUUUAACCAUUUACACAAACAUUGAGAGAAAAAGUGCAUGACUAAAAGUAUUAUUAAUUAUUAAAGAGCAAAUGAUUAUCGCCCAAUACCUUAGUCAAUUGAUAGAAAAACCAACAAUAACUCAAAUAAUAAAGCUCUAGCCCAAAUCCCACACUAAGACUGUUGAUACCCAAUUUUGCUCUCAUAUUUUUUCAAAUAAUAUAAAUAUGUUUAAAACAUCAUUUGCAUCAGUAUUUAGUUUACAAAUCUAUACAAGCAUUAUUAUAAAAUUUUCCAUAAUUUUUAGUGUUUUAAAAUUAAUUUUCCUACAUUUAAAUUACAUGAAUAAUUUACUAAUUACUCCUUUCGAUUAUUUUGUGAUGAUCUAAUCACCUAAAAUUAUUACUUGCACCUAUAAUACAUGUUUCAAAUAUUUUAUUCUAUUUUUAUAUAAUUACAUUAAUAUUUUUAAGCUAUUUACACAAUUUUGCAGUAAUAGCUUAUAUUCAUACACAAAUGCUCUUUACUUAUAUUAUUUAUGUCAAAAUAGCAUUUUAUAUUUUUAUAAUUCUAAGUCAUUAUUUUAAAUAAUUUUAGUGCAUAGAAAAUAUUUUUAUAUAGUUAUUAAGCAUUUUUAUAAAUUAUGUGUAUUUAAAAGGCUGGCCCAAACUUUAAGCCAAUUCUCAGACCAAAAUUAGCCCAGCAACUUCUGCCCAAUAACCCCAAUCCCAUUUUUAUGACCUGCCCCAUUCAUUUUAAAUCAUAGCUAUUGAUCUUUCAAGAUCAACGGCCCUCAUUCAUUCCCCCGUAUUAAUUAACCUAACCCGCCCCCAAAACCCUAUCAUUUCUUCUCAGACGCCACCUUUGAAACCUCUCCUCUCUUCUCCUCAAAACCCUAGCCUCCCUCUCAAUUUUUCUCCAAAUUCGUCUUAACCAUGGAUUCUUUCCAUGAUUUCUUUGCCUUUCAUAUGUUAUCUCAUUAUUACCUACAAGACCAUGGCAAGUACUAUCUCUCAGAUUCUUGACGUUCAACUUCAAUUGCUUGAAUUUGGAAAAAAUCUUGUCCAUAUGUAUCAUGGCAAGGCUAUAUUUGGUCCGAUUAGCCAAGAUCUCAUGCGAAUCUCUGAUUUCUGUCAACUAGGGUUAACCUAAUUUUCCCUAAUCUGACUUUUACUGAUUCCUCUUGAUAUUAUUUCUUUAUUUAUAUUGAUUUUAUAAUAUUUCCUUGUUUGUUUGCCGAAUUUCUACUGCUAUAUAAACCCCUCCUCAUUCCCCUUUAAGACGGACCUUUAAUUGAUAGGUUUCACUAAAAAUUUGAAACUAUUUUUCUAUUAUUCCCUCAUUCUCUUGUUCUAUACUUUGGUUCUUGGCCGGCUGAAAGCCAAGGCCACUGGGAUUUGAUUUUUUAACCUUUUCUUGGUGCGAGCACUGCCCGGGUUCCUUUGAAGCCCUUGGGAACUUUGACGCAAUAAGAUUCUGGAUUCUUGCUCUUUGUUGAUUCAAAAUACAGUGGAAUUUUGUUCUUUAUUGUUGUCCGUUUAACUGGUAAGUCACUUGACUUUUGCAAUUUUGUUCUUAUGUUUCUAUGAUUUGCAUAUUCUUACUUCUGAAAGUCACAACUUACUAUGUUAGCAUUUGAAAGUAAUCUGAACUUUCCUAUCACUUGAGUUUAUCUAAAGCAGCCAAUUUUGAGAUAUGUUAUUUGUUUAUGCCUAAUUUGGAUAAUUUGGAUCCUCUUAAGUUAGUUUAGCAAAUGUAUUGGUGCCUGAAUGUUCACAUUUGUUGCUGGGCAUGAACAUGCUUACUUGCUUCGUUCUGAAUCCUUGUAAUGAAUGUCUCACAUCUGUAAUGUGUUGUAACAUAUGUUAAGACCUUCACUGUUAACGAUGACUUUCUUCCCUAUUAUUAUGUCACUCAGAAUGUCUUUAGCUCACUUGAUUCCAUACCCCUAUGGUGAUUACUUGAGAUUUUAGAGUAGUUAUCUCAACCUGUGUUUCCCUGCCAUGUUUGAACUGCUUUGUUUCAUGAUGUGAGUUAACAUGUUUUUCUUUUGAAAUUAUGAUGAAUCCCUAGAAUAACUAGGACCUUUAAGCCUUUAAUUUCGUGCCCUACUUAGACUUGUUUAAUAAUAUGCACCUUAAUAUGACAGCCUGUCAAAUCUUGCAAACUUGAUCCCCCUAACUCUUGCAAUGUUUCUGCCAAUGUGUUAUGUUCCUAAGUGUUGAACCUGCUUCUAAACUGUUCUAGGUUAUCAACUUUGCUAUUCCUAUUUUUUUUUAAAAAAAAAACUAUAAGUGUAUUAUGUCCCUUAACCAUUAUCCACUCACUCUGAUUUGUUACCUAUGCUAUUAUGAACCUAUCAUUCUUGGCCGGCUGAAAGCCAAGGCCACAAAGACUCUUACUACUGACCUCCCUAGAGUGAGUAUUGCUCAAGGUCCAUUUGAGAUCCUUGUGAACUCUAACACACUAGGAUUUGGAGCCUUUUAGCCACUCUCUCUACUACUGAAACCUGAGCAAUCUCUGACACUCAAUUCUUUCUUCCUACUGUCUACUGAAUAUGUAAACUGGUUGGUUUAAGUGAUUCAAUGGCUGGGUAAUAUGGUUAACUACAAUUUUUUAUUUGUCUUGAGUUCUUCUAUGGAUUCUGGGUUGUGCUGAUGAACAUAGUUCCCUGUUGGAAACCUUUGCUAUGUGAGAGUUGUUGAAGGCCCAGGCAAUGCUGGUAUUUCUUUUUGGGCCUGUUGUGGGCCUAUUGUUAUUAUUUGUAUAAUAUUUUAUAAUUAUAUUCAUUAAUGGGCCUGUAAUAACUUUUUAAUGAACAAUUGGGGGUGUUAGUGAAAUUGCGAGAAUGGAUAUGCUCUAAUAUUUGUAUGCAAGGGUAGAAAAUAUGCCAAUAAGGUUCAUGUGAUUUACUUGUUAUCCGACUUGCUGUAUAUGCCAUUUAACUGCCAUUCGUAGAAAUUGUGUCACUAGGAGGAUCACACACUCACGCAAAUCGUAUGUUAUCAAAGUAUAAGUAUCCCUAUGUCUGCUAGACAACAUGCCUAUAGGAAAGAAAUGCUAGUGACAUUUUCUCAAUCAGUAUAACUACGUCAUAUUCAUUAGAAAUUAUGCCUAUACGAUUUUAAUUAUUUAAUUUUAUAUUAUAUCAUAAUACUCACUUAGAAAACAAGUCUAUAGGGGGCUAAGCAUAAUAAAAUUGGUUUCAAUCGCCAAUUGUUAGAUAUCCUGCCUAUAGGGUAUUACUACUCGCCUUAAAAAUGUUAUUGCUGAACUCUUCCAAUGUUGUUUAUUGUUUAGUUAUGCCACUAUUAGAAAUAAUGAGUAAUUAUGGGCAUCUCCAAUUGAUUUCACUGUCCCUUACUGCAUAAAUCACUUAGACACAACGUCUAUAGGUUUAAUAACUGAAAAUGUGUAAUCUCAAAAAUCAGCAUGCAACAACUAUAUAAUUAUUUGGAAUCUUAUCUAUGAGCAGCGCCUUGCAUCUGAAACUGCAUGUAUGUUUAAAUUCAAAGUCACAUAGAAAUCAUGUCUAUAUGGCUUAAGGUUCUUAAUUCUGAAACUACCUAACAUGAAAACGUGUUUCGCGUGCAUUUGUUGCUUAAGCGUGGAGGCUAACAUGAGCCCUUAAUUGCCCAUAUAUGAAGUCCAAUUUAUUUUUGUAUGUCGCCAAGUUUUAACCUUUCUGAGCAACAUAAGUAAGGUAUAGAAGUACCCAAAUAGAGGUCCAAUACCUCUUGGACCAUAGGUAUGGGAUGGGUAGUGCACGCAUAGAGCACGACUUAGAAUCGAAUUAGAGCGCUUUUAGGUAACAACUUUAACAUAGUAAUCGAGUAGUAGGAGAUGAUAAACUGUGCCCGCUGAAUUAUAUGAGUAAAUCCUUAUCUCAAGGGAGUUGCGAAGUAUUAUUUAUGUUGCACGGGGUGAUCCUUUAGGCUAAAAAACAUAGGAUCCCCCCUCCUUUAUAUGUUGCUAUUAUAUCUAAAUAGUUGUAUCCCUAUAUUCGUACUAAGAUCUGUACUAAUCAUGUUGUAAUUGUUUAUGAUGAUCCAAAAGUUCAUCUUAUGUUUUAGAACUCGAUUCUGUGUUCUAAAGACUUCAAAACCUCAUUUUAUUCCUCCUUGAUUUAUGUGCGCAGUCCAGGCGCUUUUACGAAAAGCUUUUAUGUUAAAAAUUGAUAAAAAGAAUAUUUUUUGCCUAUAAAAGUUGAUUUAGUUUACUUCGGUUAAUGUUUUGAGUAAAUGGACCCGGACUCAUGUUUUGACAGUCCUAGUGGGUAUGUAUCGAAAUAUGGGACCUGGGCGUAUGCCCGAAAUCGAAUGUGAGGUUCCUAGCUCAAGAAAUGAAUUUUUGAUAAAAAUUGAAUGACUGGAAAUUAAAUGGUUUUAAGAAUUUGGUUAGUGUUUAAACUUAUUGGUAUCGGGUCCGUAUUUUGGUUACGGAACUCAGUACAGGGUUGAAAUAAUAUUUAUACCUUAUCUGUGAAAUUUGGUGAGAAACGGAAUUUAUUUGACGUUAUUUGGACUUUCGGUUGUGAAAAUAGGAAUUUCAAAAUAUUUUUAAGAAUUUCAUAAGAUUUGGUCGCACGAACAAGUCCGUAUGAUGUUUUUAGACUUGUGUGUAUGUUUGGUUUACAGCUCCGAGUGCUCGGGUGAGUUUCAGAUAGGCUACGAGAUGUUUUAGACUAAGAAAAUCUGGUAUUUUUGUUGUAGCAAUUGUUCUGGUAUGCCCAUCAUCGCGUUCGCGAAGGUACCCACGCGAACGCAAAAGGUAAAAUAGGGGAAGAGGGAAUUUCUUCUUUGCGAACGCGAAGGACUUGUUGCGAACACGGAGUAACGGGGGCAUUAUUCUUCGCGAACACGACCUUUCUAUCGCGAUCGCGAAGAAAUGGGACCUGGGGAGGGGCAAUGACUGAUACUCUUCGCGAACGCGGUACUUGGCUCGCAAAUGUGUAGGUUGGGGGGAAUAAGCCUUCGCGAACGCGAGGAGUAUCUUACGAACGCGUAGGCCUUUGGGCCGCUGUGUAUCAGGAUCACGACAGGCCCUUCGCGAACGCGAAGAAAACCUGUCCAGUAAUUUUAAAACAAAUACAAAAACGGGACUUCUUCAAAAUUUCAUAUCUCUUUCACUAGAACUCGGCUUAGGGCAAUUUUUGAAGAGGUAAUUCAACACCAAAUCAUAGGUUUGUACUCUUUAAAUCAUUUCCUUCAAUUUCCAUCAUCACCCAUUAGAUUCUUUGUCAUAAAUCUUGUUCUUUCAUGGAAGAAUUGGGGGUUUUUGCAAAUUGAGAAUUGAGACCUCGAUUUGGGGUCGGAUUCCGAAACUAAUUACAUAUUCAGGCUCCUCGAGUUUUGACCAAAUGGGCCCAGGGUCAAUUAUUGAAUUUCUGGGGAAAAUGUUGGGAGACCUAAAUUUAUGUAUUGAAAUUGAUUCCUUUAGUAAUAUUUGAUGUUAUUAAGUUAAUUAUAGCUUGAUACGAGUGGUUUGGAGGUAGAAUCUAGAGGAAAAGCGGUAAUUGAGUAGUGAAUGGCCUGCGGAUCGAGGUAACUAUUGGGUCUAACUUUAACUCGAGGGUUUAGGAAUCUCUCACUUAAUUGCUAUGUGAAAAUCCAUGUGAGUGGCGUAUAGGUGAGGUGAUGGGUACCUAUGCAUUGCCAAUUUAUCUGUUUUUCCUAUUUUCUCCCCGUCCUAUUAUGUUGUCUUCCCUGCAUUAACUGUUACAUGCUUUACUAGUAGUUCCAUGUUUAAUUGCUACUGUCAUACCUCCUUUUUCUACCCCACAAGGGGUAUAAGGGAUUUAUUUCCAAUUUAAGUGACAAUCGAAACGAGAUUAUUUAUUUAAAAAUCAGAGUUGCCACUUGGGAUAAUUUAUGGUGUCCCAAGUCACCGGUUAAAAUCCCGAAUUGAGGAAGUUGACUCUAUUUAUGAUCUGCGAACACAGAAAUCCGGGUAAGGAAUUCUGUUUACCCGGGAGAAUGUGUUAGGCAUUCCCAGGUUCCGUGGUUCUAGCACGGUCGCUUUGAUCAUACUUGGCUUAGUCAAAUUGUUUAGUUACUCAUUUUAGAACCUAUGUGCAUUUACCUCUUUUAAUUAAGGAAUUAUCCUAAAACGAGUCACACGUACGUGUACUCAUUUCAUUUGGCGCAUAAAAAAAGCAUGUCACGCGUACGUGUCCACAAUUAAUAAUGAUUUAUUAUGAUUAAGAAAGUUUAGUUGAAGUUGCGCGAACGCAUACUCCGAUUUUGUUUUCAAAAUCAAAAUUAUGUAACGCGAACGUGUCCACAAUCAUGACGAUACAUUAAACGUGCCUAAAGCAAACUACGAACAUUCACUUUUUAAUAUCUAAGUUACAAUAUUAAUGUGAGGGCCAUAGGCAAUUCAAUUAUGGAUGGCACACCUCAAUCUAAAGAUGUUCAGGUUUAAUCUAAAUUAAGGUUCAAUCUAAACCUACUAAUUAUAAGCAUGCGUCAGAUAAUAUACUAUGUAUAUAAUUAUUUAAAGAAUUUUGGGCCAGCAGUAGGCCCAAUAUUAUUAAAGGAUUUUCGAAAAGGAAAAUAAGAAAAGCUAGGCUCGACAUCAAGCCCAGCGAUAGGGACAAAGGUGAGAGGCCACCAAAGUUUCGAAUGGCCAAGAACUGGGCCCAUGAUCAAACCUUCAGUAUUAGAAAAAACUAUUUCCAUUUUACCAAAUACAAAACCUAACAAAUUUAAAUUGUUGGAUAUAAUAGGGCUCAGAGUUGAGCCCAAGGAGCGAAAAGAAGACAAGAACAAGCACGUUGAGCCCAUUUCCAAGCAGGCUACCUCAUAUAGGCCAAGGCUAGGCCCAAUUGCCUCUAACAAAGAAAAACCUUCAGUAUUAAGGCCCCAACAAGUCAUAUCUCCCUCUAAAUCAUCCAUGGCAAAACAAUAUAGAAAUUCUAGACAUUAAAGUGCAUAAACGCCCGGAUUAUAAACUAUAUUGUAAUAACCUGUUACAAGUAAUAAUAGUAUGGACAUGGAUUUUAAACUACUCAUUAAACAUACAAGUUCACACAACAAAAAGACUACUCUAGCAAUGCUGAAAUUAAACAAUUAAAAUGCGUGUGUUCAGCAGUCAGACAAUAUACAUGAUACUCAAAUCAACAUUCUUAAAUACAAAUGAGCUACAAAAGCCAUCUACUAACUCAAAAAUCUGAACAGUUCAUAAAGAGUUGAUUAAUCUAAGCCUUAAUAUAUGAAAUUCCCCACUAAACUAUUGCCCAUCAACAGGUCCCAUAAUAAUCAUAACAAAACUGAAGGAAACCAAACUAAUAAUAAGCUAGGUAACUCAGGAAGAACGAAUGUAAAAGAACUGAAAGUCCAUGUUUCUACCACUAAAAUUCACAUUACAAAUACAUAUAUAAAAAGAAAGGCAUGCUUGCACUUCAAUAGUCAUCAUAGUCCAAGAAGUACCUGAAUAUCAAGAACAAAAUGAUGAGAAACAAGGAAUUGAGCAAAGCAAACAAGUGAAGGAAACAACAAAUAAUCAGCAAACACAUAGCUCCAGCUUAGUCCAUAUUUGAAUCAGAGAUUCAGAAAAUCCAAAAAAACUUCAGAGUAUUUUUGUUUCUUUUUUAGAAAAUCAUAAGCGAAUCAAUUAAGCUCUUUUUUUAUCAAACAGUGCAGAAACUUUUGUGUAUUUUCUAAUGUUUUGAAUCUCUGUUUUUAAGAGUGAGGGAGGGGUUCUAUUUAUGGGAAACCCAAUGCCAUGUGAUGAAAAACAGAAAGAUAGGGAAUUAUUCCCUCACACAUCCCCUAAAGGCAUCUUUCUAACAGAAUUGGGACAGCUAUCAACCUCUAAUUGGUUUCAGCAUUUUUGUGCCGGCCAAAUAGGGCUAGCUGCCCCAAAUUCUAGAAGCUUCUAACCUUAACCUUAUCUGAAAAAUCCUGUUUCUAUUUCCCAAAUUAACCCCUAAGUUUCCAUUUGUUCUAUUAACCUCUCCUAAGUUUCUAAUAUUUUGCAAACUAUGGCAAAUAAGAACAAGGCAAGCAAACAUGAACCAACAGAUUAAAAGCAAACAAAAACCUCAGAGUCAAAAGUUUGAGUAUCUGAAAACUGGCAAAUAAACCUACAUCUCUAACAUGAAACCAAUUCAUAAUAAACUCUAGAUUAACAUGAAACUAAACCAAAAGCUAAUUAAAUGAUGCAUUCAUACUAAACUAUGAUUCAAAAAAAAAGGCAAAAGGAUAACUGAAACUACUAACUAUUUUAUGAGCUAAAUUAAUCAUGAGCUAAACUAAAUCAGUAAACCCAAAUGAAACUUGAACAAACAACUGGAGUGAUUCCGAAACCAAAAUGAACAAACUAAUGCACCCUAAAACAAAAUUAGUAACUAACCACGUCUAAAGAACAAACAAAUUUAUAAACUGAAAAUCAAUCUAGAAAGAACACUGACUCGACAUUUGAAGAAGAGAGAAAAAAAUGGAGAGGUAAAAUGAUGAUACUUUACCAUUUGGACUGGAAAAAAAACAAACGAAAUAAGCUUUGAGGUCUGUCUCCGCCUUGACUGACUAAUAGAGGUAUUUUCCUUCAAGGGAUCCGGCCUUGCAUGGCUUUGACCGGAUCUCCUUGAAAGAAAAGAUUUCUGGAAGCCUUGUCUUCGAGGGGAAAACAACAAAGAAGCUUUGGAUUUCGAACAAAAAUUGAAGCAGCACUUGGUGCCUUUCUUUGAACCGGACAGAACUUGAUCUUCGAUUUGAAAUUGUAGAGCUUUGCGGGGUUGUUUGGGAAAAUCAGUAAGGUAUUGAGGGCGAGGGGAGUGAGGAGAUUGUGUGAUGAGAUUCUGGACGGACUUGGGUGAACUAGGGUUUGGGGGACUGAUUCUUAGAUCUAAAUUUGAAGGACCUGGGUGGGGAUUUUGGAGAAAAGGUUUAUGGAUUUGGAAAGGGGGUUGCCUAGUAAAUAUUUGGGGAGGUUUGGAUCACCGGAACCGCCGUGAGGCGAUUUUCGGUGGUGGUUAGUGGCGGAGGAGGCGUGGUUUUUUAGGCGGCUAGGGUUUAAUUCAUGUUGAAGGGGACGAGUGAAUGAUUGGGUUUGAGGGGGAGGGGGGUAUGUGUUAGGACAAUUAUAAGGUUUAGGUUAAUUAGUUCCAAACCGUUGGAUCACUAGGAUCCAACGGCUGUGAUCAGGGACGGGCAAAACGGGGUCGUUUGGCUUAGUGGGGGGUUGGACCGGGUAAGGGGUUUGGGCUUGGGCGGAUUUGGGCUGGGUAAGGGAUGUGUUUGGGGCGGAUUUGGGGCAAAAAUUUGGGUUUCAACAUCAAUUGGCCUAAAUUGGAUUUUAAGUCCAAGCUUUUCAAUUCCCUUUUUCUUUUAUUUUCUUUUCUUUCUUUAAUUAAUUAAAAACCUAAAUUAAAUUUCUAAAUUAAUCUAAGUUGUAAAAUUAAACUAAUUAUCAAAUUAUAAAAAUUAAUUGAUCCUAAAUUAAAAGAGAAGAACUACUGAUCUAGAAUUAAAAGCUAAAAAAAUAUAAAAGUAAGACAAUUUUUUUUUUCAUUUUUAAUAAUGCAACUAAUUUACUAAUUAAUCCUAAAAAUAUGAAAACAAAAUCUCAAUGCAAUGCAUAGUAUUUUUGGUAUUUUCAUGAUUUAAAUAAAAGUAAACGAAAUGCAAACAAUUAACAAAAAAUCCUAUAAAAUUGCAGACAAUUGGGAAAAAAUCUUUUUCUUUAAAUUGUAGGAGUAUUCCACAUAGGGCAAAAAUUAUGUGCUCACAGCCUCCCCUCUUUGCUCAGAAACACGAAGAGUUUUUGGGCAAAGAUAAAGUGAGCGGAUACGAGCGAUUUUUGCCCGUUUGAAUACUCCAUGGGAAGCAUUUUUGAAAGAUCUGACUGAACCUUGCUUCUAAGGUUGACUACAUAUCCUUGACUAUAAAGGAAUCAGGUCAGUGUAGUUCGAGAAGUUUCGGUAGCUGAGACUACCGGAAAGCUGUGAUUUCACUAUUGUUGUUGCUGCUUCUGCUUGUUGAACUCCCUAUUACACUGCGGCAAAAUAAAAAGAAGCUAGACUAAACUACGAUCUAUGAAUUACAAGAAUCGUAUCUACCAUCUUCAAACUUGGUCUUGCUGCUUCUACAUUUCUGUUGUGCACAUUGAACUGUUGACCUAUAUCUCGAGGCGAAUUUCUGUUGUUGCAACCGCAAAUUAAAUUCUAAAAUAGGUUCCCUUGUUCUCUAGGUGGGUGCCUGAUCGCCGAAAACUUGAACUGCAUUCCCUCGUCCUCCAGGUUCGCGCCUGAUUGCCAAAAACUUUGAACUAUAUUGCCUUGUUCUCCAGGUGGGUGCCUGAUUGCCAAAAACUUGAAUUGUAUUCCCUUGUUCUCAUGUGGGAGCCUGAUUACCAAAACUUAAACUGUAUUUCCUUGUUCUCUAUGUGGGCGCCUAAUUGCUAAAAACUUGAACUGUAUUCUCUUGUUCUUCAGGUAGGCGCCUGAUUGCCAAAACUUGAACUGUAUUCCCUUGUUCUCCAGGUGAGCGCCUGAUUGCCAAAACUCGAACUAUAUUCCCUUCUUCUCCAGAUGGGCAUCUGAUUGCCAAAACUCAAACUGUAUUCCCUUGUUCUCCGGGUGGGCGCCUGAUUGCCAAAACUCGAACUGUAUUCCCUUGUUCUCCCAGUGGGCGCCUGAUUGCAAAAACUUGAAUUGUAUUCCCUUAUUCUUCAUGUGGGCGCCUGAUUGCCAAAACAUGAACUAUAUUCCCUUGUUCUCCAGGUGGUCGCUUGAUUACAACAAAACAGACAAAACAAAGAAACUUUUCUGCCUCAGUUUGGUAUUAGGGCACAUCUGUAAGUGUUAAUCGAAUCAUAUUACCCAAAACCUCUAAGAAUUUAAAAGCUAAAUCACAUUAUCCAUGAGGGUCCUGAAAUUUUAAAUUGAAUAUCAUCUUAAGAGUGAAAGCUUUAUAUCCAACUUAUAAUUCCUAAAGGUAGAGCUUAUGCUAAAUCUUAUUAUCUAUAAAGGUCUUGGAAUUCAACUAAGUCCCAUUAUCCAGGAGGGUCCUGAGAACUUUUAAAAUUAAAUCUCAUUAUCCAGGAGGGCGCUGAAAAUUUUAAACUAAAUCCCAUUAUCCAAGAGGGUCCUAAAGAUUUGCGGUUAAACCUGUCCGGUAUAUGCUUUCCUCACGGAGGAUUCCUCCAGAAUAAACAAAAUUUCCUGCCCCUGUUUUAAUCAAAGAAAAUUUUAUCAAUUUGAAAAUGUGGUGGUUGGUUUGCGGCAUUCUUGUUGAAGGUGGCCUUUCCACGGCCAUGCUUUGUUCUGACUGGCUGCCUUGGACUGGCAAAAAAUUGUUUGACUUUCUGACUGAAUCUCAACCAUAGGACCCUGAAUGACCCGAGUGCUCUGCACUCAACCCGCUAUUUUACAUUUCUAUCUUUCCCAUUUGAUCCUAUGUAUCUUCCACAAAAUUCACAAACCCCUCGACCAUUUGAACUUUAACUAACACCUUACUUUCCAUUUUGCAUCAUGCUAUUUCUGCUAUGUUUAGGCCGCACUCUACUUUGUGCAAUUUGGAAGUUGAUAGUAAGCUUUGAAAUUCUUUCCUACUUGCUUAAACAAGGCUGAAAUUGGAAAAGCCUUAGAGAAAUAAACCCAAAAGACAUGAAAUGCAAUGACUUCGAGAGUUAGGAAUAAAGAAGAAAAUCCGAAAUAGGAUGACUGUUUGAGGGAGAAAAGGAGAAGAAACUUAUCUGAGUAAGGCAGCUGGCACUAAUGAUCAUGACAUGCAUUUCGGAUUAGUCGGCCCAACCUGUUUUACCAAUCAUCUUUCUGUUGUCAUACUUUAUGCCUCGAAAUUUCCAUAUUCCAAUAUCUUUUCAAAGUCACCAACCUUGUUCGGCUUGUGGUGCCCUGAAGGUUUUCACCAAUAAACCUCUCUCAUUUGUUCAUCUCUCAACUCACUAUUGUCUUACGGUGUCCGUGAAGGUUUUUACCAAUAAGACUCUCUCAUUUUAAUUUCUCUCAUCUUUCUAUCGACCUACGGUGCCCGUGAGGGUUUUCACCAAUAGGACUCUCUCAUUUAUUCAUUUUCCUUGUGUAGAACGGAGUGUUGCCCCUGAUGAGCCGUACCUCUAUCCCGCCUGACUUUGCAUUCCUCAAAGAUUGAUCGGAAGGUCUUUCUUUGGAUCGUAACGUCGGCUUUUGGAUAGGGAGAGAAAGGAUAUUAUAAAGGCUCAAAAACAAUUGGAAUGAGUUCAAAAUUACAACCUUUGGAGUCAGAUCUCUUAGGAAACUGCAACUUCUGCCCCAGUUUCUUUGCCUGGGGACUUUUGAAUUUUAUUUUGAUGGGACCGAACCGUGAGGUUGCCUACGUAUCCUUAUAAGGAAUCAGGUUGAAUGUAGUUCAUGACAUAGGAAUUGCUUUGUUUUUUGUUACUUGUCUUUUCUUUUUCUUUCUUUCUUUUUUCUUCUUUUCCCUUUCUUUCUUUUUUUUCUUUUUCUCUUUCUUUUGGUUUGCUUACUUUUUCAAUUUCUCUCUCUUAUUUUUUCUUUUUCUCUUUUUCUUUUUUAUUUACCUUUUGUGUCCGUGUUUGUGAACUUUGCUACUGAUUCCAAAAGAGGGGUAUGGAAGAAAUAAAUAAAGCUCAAAGGGGUAACAAAGGAUAAAGUGUUUAGAUAGCAGAAUAAAAUGCCUUCGUCUUUCCAAUCUUCAAAAGAUGUCAAGUACAAACAACAAUUAGACAAACCAAAGAAAUCAUACAUAAUAUCUUUUGACUACAUUAAAAUUGAUAGUCAUAUCUGCACAGUUGCCUUCUAUAUUUGUUAAAUACAAAACACCAUUGGAUAACACUCUCAUUACAAUGAACGGCCCUUGUCUUUCGCUUCAGCCUGAUGUGGAAGGAUGCGUUUCAAUACUUGCUGACCCACUUCAAAUUUUCGGGGACGCACCUUCUUGUUGUAUGCUCUUGCCAUUCUCUUUUGAUACAACUGGCCAUGACACACUACCGCCAGUCUUUUCUCGUCAAUCAGACUUAAUUACUCCAAACGGGUUUUGACCCACUCAUCAUCAUCAAUUUCGGCUUCAGCAACAAUCCGAAGAGAUGGAAUUUCAACUUUCGCGGGUAUCACUACUUUAGUACCAUAUACCAACAAAUAAGGAGUUGCACCUACUGAAGUGCGAACAGUAGUGUGAUAACCCAUCAAAGCAAAGGACAACUUUUCAUGCCAUUGCCUGGAACUUUGCACCAUUUUCUGAGGUAUCUUCUUUAUGUUCUUGUUGGCCACCUCAACAGCUCCAUUUGCCUUGGGGCGAUACAGAGUGGAAUUUCGAUGCAUGAUUUUAAAAUAUUGACAUACUUCUUUCAUCAAAUGACUGUUAAGAUUAGCACUAUUAUCUGUGAUGAUCACCUUUGGGAUUCCAAACCGACAAAUGUUAUUUGAAUGAACGAAAUCGACCACUGCCUUCUUGGUCACAGAUUUGAAAGUCUUAGCUUUAACCCACUUAGUUAAAUAAUUGAUGGCCACCAUAAUGAACAUGUGCCCGUUUGAUGCUGCAGGCUCAAUUGGUCAAUGACAUCCAUGCCCCAAGCAACAAAGGGCCACAGCGUGGACAUUAUAUGCAACUCAGAUGGUAGAGAAUGAAUCAAGUCUCCAUGUACCUAGAACUGAUGACACUUGCGCACAAAGCUGAUGUAAUCCCGUUCCAUGGUGAGCCAGUAAUAUCCUGCUCGAAGAAUUUUCUUUGCCAUAACAUACCCAUUCAUAUGUGGCCCGCAAACCCCGGGAUGCACUUCUAUCAUGAUAGUCAUGGCUUGUUUAGCAUCUAUGCAUCUCAACAAUCCAAGAUUUGGAGUCCUCUUGUAUAAGAUCCCCCCGCUCAAGAAAAAUUCACUAGCCAAAUGUCGAAUUGUUCUCUUUUGAUCACCUGUGGCUUGUACCGGAUAUACCCCUAUCCCGAUGUAUUCCCUAAUAUCAUGGAACCGCGGUUCACUAUCAAGUUCUUCCUCAACCAUAUUACAAUAGGCAUGCUGAUCAUGAACUUGAAUAUGUAGAGGGUCAACAUAAACUUUGUCCGGAUGGUGCAACAUUGAUGUCGAGGUAGCCAAAGCAUCGGCAACCUCAUUAUGGAUCCUUAGAAUAUGCCUGAAUUCUAUUGAUCGGAACUGUUGACAAAGAUCAUGCAAACAUUGCCGAUACGGUAUGAACUUUAAUACCCGAGUCUCCCAUUCUCCUUAGAUUUGGUGCACCAAAAGAUCUAAGUAUCCCAAGACCAAGACUUCCUGAACUCCCAUAUCUACCGCUAACCUCAAUCCCAAAAUCCAUGCCUUGUACUCAGCCAUGUUGUUGGUAUAGUAGAAACAAAGUUGGGCUGUAAUAGGGUAGUGAUGCCCUAUUUCAGAAAUAAACACGACCCCUAUUCCGACACCUUUCAUGUCAGCGGCUCCAUCAAAGAAAAGUUUCCAACCUGGUUUUUCAACCUGCUCCACCUCAUCAAUAUGCAUCACUUCUUCAUCGGGAAAAUAAGUUCUCAAUGGUUCAUACUCUUCAUCGACCGGGUUCUCACCAAAUGAUAGGCCAAUGCUUGGGCUUUCAUCACAGUCUGAGUCACAUAGAUGAUGUCAAACUCUAUGAGAAAAAUCUGCCACUUUGCAAGUAUUCAUGUGUGCAUAGGCUUCUAAAAGAUAUACUUUAGAGGGUCCAGAUGAGAAAUGAGGUAAGUAGUAUAGGACGACAAAUAAUGCUUCAACUUUUGUACCACCCAAGUGAGGGUGCAACAUGUCCUUUCAAGGGGAGUAUACUUAACCUCAUAUGACGUGAACUUCUUGCUGAGAUAAUAGAUGGCUUACUCCUUUCCGCCGGUGAUGUUAUGUUGACCCAGUACGCAACCAAACGAAUUGUCUAGGACUGUCAAAUAAAGAAUUAAAGGCCUCCCAGGUUCCGGCGGGACCAACACAGGUGGGUUUGACAAGUACCCCUUAAUCUUAUCAAAUACCUCCUGGCACUCAUCAAUACAUUUGACCGCAGCAUCCUUCUUCAGCAACUUAAAGAUGGUCUCACAAGUUGUUGUGAGUUGAGCAAUAAACCUAUUGAUGUAGUUCAAAUUACCGAGCAGACUCAUCACCUCAGUCUUGUUCCUUGGAGGUGGCAAUUCUUGGAUAGCUUUGAUUUUUAAUGGGUCCAAUUCAAAGCCUCGACGACUAACUAUGAAUCCCAACAGUUUUCCAGAUGGAACACCAAAUGCACACUUGGCAGGGUUAAGCUUAAGAUUGUACCUGCGGAACCUUUGGAUAAACUUCCUUAAAUCGCCGACAUGGUCAGCUUGUUGCUUUGACUUUACGAUCACAUCAUCCACAUAAACCUCAAUCUCCUUGUGUAUCAUGUCAUGGAACACAGUGGUCAUUGCCUUUAUGUAAGUUGCCCCAGCAUUUUUCAAAUCAAAUGGCAUUACUCGAUAGCAAUAAGUUCCCUAUGGUGUGAUGAAUGCCAUCUUUUCUGCAUCCUCCUCAUCCAUCAAGAUCUGGUGGUACCCCGCAUAGCAAUCCACAAAAGAACCGAUCUCAUGCUUGGCACAGUGGUCAAUCAAAAUGUGGAUAUUUGACAAUGGAAAAUUAUCCUUUGGACUUGCUUGGUUGAGAUUACGAUAAUCAACACACACCCUGGUCUUGCUGUCCUUUUUUGGCACUGGCACGACAUUAGCUAACCAAGUGGGUUAUCGCGUGACUCGAAUGACCUUUGAGCCCAGCAGCUUUGUGAUUUCAUCCUUAAUAUUCACACUCAUAUCAGUUUUGAACUUUCUUAACUUCUGCUUGACGGGAGGGAAUGUUGGGUCAGUGGGCAAUUUGUGCACCACCAAGUCAGUACUUAGACCCGGCAUGUCGUCAUAUGACCAUGAAAAAAUGUUUUUAUAUUAGAACAGUGCUUUGAUUAUUUCCUCUCUAAUUUUUGGUUCCAAGUGCACGCUUAUCUUGGUUUCCCUGAUGUUAUCUAGAUCCCCUAAAUUGAUUGCUUUAGUUUUAUUCAAAUUAGUCUUGGGUUUCUCUUCAAAGUGACGUAGCUCUUUACUAAUUUCCUCAAAUGCUUCCUCUUCAUCAUAUUCUAUUUCAUCAUCACACUCUAUUUCCUGAAUUAUUAUUUCAGAGUUAGAUUGGCUUUUAAUACUUGGCCAAAGAUACCUCAUGCAUGUCAUGUCAUUGAAACCGACAUAAAAAGAACUGUACAAAGAAAGAAAAGAAAAUGACACUAUCAGGAGUAAUGGCAAAAGGGAAAUUGCAUUUCAUUGAAAUUAAAGGAUAGAAGGGUUUGUACAUCAAAACAGACGGAAAUUAAAAUUUGAAUUACAACCCUGAAAUAAUCCAGAUAAACUGAAAGGAAAACGAAGCAAACUACCAAAACUCCUUCCGGGUAGGGAGAGGAGUAGCAUCCCAAUUGUUAAGCUUCACUUUUGUCCCAAUAAACUACACAUCCACUUUGUUGGAACCUUCCCUAGUUUCUACCAUGUUCACUUCAUCAAACAGACUCUGGAACCUUUUAACCAAUUCCUCAUCAAAAUGAACCACAGGCUUUGGAACUGUUGUCACUGGACACUUCACGACCCUUGCCUUGAUGAAAGACCUGGAGAGACAUUGUACGGUCUUGAGGAGCGAUCAUGCCUUCUUUUUCAGCUUUUUAGCCUUCUUCACAUCAUCCCCUGUAGGUUUGAACACCAGACCAAAUGUACCCAAAUUUUCACGCAAAGACAUUGGCUGCACGAUACCUUGCAGAGAUGCACCCAGACCUUUGCCCGGUACAAAACCAUUUUUCAGCAUUUCAGUUGCUACCAUGAUGAUUGUAGAAGCUAGUUUUGGACUUGGAAUGUAUUCCCCUUCCGGAAUCUUUUCAACCGAUACAGUUUUGGAAACUUAAUAGACCUACGGCCCUUAUCUUCUUUAGCUUCAAUAAACGGGAAAGAUGUAUCAUUGAAAGCACAUAAGUUCUCAUCGCUAUGCACGCCGAUUUCUUGUCUAUCCCAUUCGAACUUCACCAUCUAGUGUAGAGAAGAUGGAACCUCCUUGGCAACAUGUAUCCAAGGCCUACCCAAUAGCAAAUUGUAAGAAACAGCCACAUCCAGUACCUGAAACUCCAUGGUGAAUUCAAUUGGUCCUAUUUUCAACUCGAGCAUGAUGUCGCCAACAAAGUCUUUUCCCCCUCCCUGAAAACCUCGGACACAUAUUUUGUUCUUGUGAAUCCUCUCAUCAUCAACUUUUAACUUGUUCACAGUAGAGAGAGGGCAGAUGUUUGCAUUGGAACCAUUGUCAACUAACACCUUUGUGACCACAGAAUCUUUGCAUUUCACUGUGAGAUAGAGGGCUUAAUUGUGUUCUGUACCUUCCAGAGGCAAAUCAUCAUCCGAGAAUGUGAUCUUGUUAGACUCAAAUAUCUUAUUGGAAAUCUUCUCCAAAUGGUUCACUAUGAUUUUGUCAGGGACAUGAGCUUAGUUCAGAAUCUUCAUCAGGGCCCAGCGGUGCUCAUCUGAAUGGAUCAACAAUGAUAAGAGGGAAAUCUGAGCAGGAGUCUUUCUCAAUUGUUCUACGAUGGAGUAAUCAUGUACCUUUAUUUUUCUCAAAAACUUAUCCGCUUAUUCUUUAGUGACCGGUUUCUUCACUAGAACUGGAUUGUCUCAGAGUGUUUUAGCUUUCCUUAACUCUUUCGGGGCAAAGCAUCUCCCCGAAUGAGUUAAUCCCUAGGCCUCGUUAACUUCCUCUUUCACUUCCUUCCUAUUAUAGGUCACUAUCACUCGCUCAUAGUUCCAUGGGACAGUCUUGGUAUUAGCUACCGGCAGCUGGGUCAUAGGUUUGAUAAUGAUAGGGUCUGUGCGAGCACCCUCCACAAUUAUGACUGGCUUACUUGCUACCCCCGGCACGAUCACCUUUGGCUUUUCUUGCUUUGCUACAUCAUCACUUGGGGACCUAUUUACAACUACCACAACUGGCUUAUCAUUUGGCAUGCUCAACUUGUCUACCAAUCUUUCAGCUAUUGAGGAGGUUGCUUUUGUGACAACCGAGUCCUUGAUUGACUUACUUUCACUAGACCGGAUCAUCAUGACAAAUUAUGAAGGCUUCUUGGGUUUCCCAUCUUUGUGCAUUAUCUCAAUCAUAUGUGUUUUAGCAUGGGCUGACAAUGGGUUCUGGUUGAUGUUGGGUGCUUCUAGGCUCUAGACCACAAUCUGUUUUGUAUUAAUAAGCUCUUGGAUGGCGUUCUUCAAGUGCCAACACUUUUCUGUAUCGUGCCCCGGAGUAUCAGAAUAGUACGCAAAUCUGAGAGAAUAAUCCAGGUUCUUUGGAGGGGGUUUGGUAGUUUUGACUCAAUUGGCUUCAGAACAUCCAACUACCUCAACCUUUGAAAUAGGCUGGUAUAAGAUUCCCCAAGCAGGGUGAAAGUUUUCUUUCGCUGCAACCUUUCAUUCCUAAAUUCUGACUUUCCCGAAAGUUUGGACCAGUAGGGUUUCAGUAUGUUUGUGGAGGUGGGUAAGGGUUCCAUGGAGCUGGGGCACGCCAUUGUGGGUGAGGAGGGGGUUGAGCAUAUGACUGUGCGUGAUGAACAUGAUAUUGCGGUGGCCUGACUGAGUACUGAGGCUCUGGUGGUGUGAAGUAGUGUUGGGAUGGACUAUAUGGAGUUGGUGUAUAGGUUUGAAGCUGGGGUCGAGGUUGGGUGUAGUGGGUAGGAGAAUCCCCCGGGUCGUGCCACGAUCCUAAAAUGACCAUAGCGCCAUCCUCUUUCUUCUUUUUCCCAAGCACGCCUCCGGUGCCAUUCUGGAUUGCCUGCGUAGUUGCUUUGAUAGUAGAGUAGCUCAUGAUCUUUCUUGAUUUGAGCCCUUCCUCUACCAUUUCUCCUAUUUUUACUACUUCAUUGAAAUACUUACCUAUGGCCGAGAUCAGAUGACCAAAGUAAGUAGGCUCCAAGGCCUGAAGAAAGUAUUCCACCAUUUCGUUCUCCUCCAUUGAAGGGUUAACCCUUGCUGCCUGUUCUCUCCAGUGGAAACCAUAUUCCUUGAAACUUUCACUAGGCUUCUUCUCAAUCUUAGUCAAAGACAAACGAUCUGGAACAAUCUCGAUGUUGUAUUGGAAAUGACGAGCGAAUGCUUAGGCCAAAUCAUCCCAUAUAUACCAUCUGAUGUAAUCCCGACGAGUGUACCACUCCAAUGCCGCUCCACUCAUACUCUGGCUAAAGUAUGCCAUUAACAGCUCAUCUUUCCCACCGGCUCCUCUCAUUUUACUGUAGAAUCCCCUUAAGUGGGCUACGGGAUCUCCGUGUCCGUCAUACAGGUCAAAUUUGGGCAUUUUGAACCCAACCAGUAGCUGCACAUUAGGGAACAAACACAGAUCUUUGUAGGAUACACUUACUUGAGCACCCAACCCUUGCAUGUUUCUAAGCGAUUGUUCCAGGAUUCUUACCUUCCUAAACAUCUCCUCAUGUUUCGGGUUUUAGGUGGCUUCUCAGUCUCCACGGGGAGGUCGAAACGAGAAGUGUAGGAGUAAUGAUCUGGGGCCAUGAAAGUAGGCUCUGGGGGAUAGUACUGAUUAUCUUGGGUCUGGAAUAAUGGCUCACUGGAAGAUCGAUAGAGUGUAGCUGGUGGAGGUGCUACGAAAAUAGGGGUAGCUGGUUGAUGGGGGUAUGGGGUUGUUUUGGCUGGUGGAGCUUGUAUGGUUUGGGAAGUGGUGCCAUGAUAGUGGUGGUAAGGGGUGAAGCUUGGUGCAUGUUGUGGAGAUGAGUCAAUAGUGAGAGGUACUUGGGAUUGAGCUAAUGGAGGUAUGAAAGCAGGGUUGGCGGGAUAUGAUGGUGGAUGCCCUUUCAUCCAUGCCUAGUACAUUUUGGCCAUCUGGUGUUUCAACUUAUGUAACUCCUCUUUCAAAUUAACCUCAGACUCCUCCACCUCUCUCGGUGGAUCGAUAAUACUUGCGUCCAGUUCUUGGCCAGUCAUGAUCAACUUAUUUUUAGACUUGGUGUUGUACGGAUGGGUUGCCAGAAUGCCAAACAAACUAACCACCUUCCUGUUCUCAAUGACAAUGGAAACUUGUUAGUGUGUAAGAUUUAACAGGUAGGCAACCGCACAUUUGGAAUGCAAUGCACCUAAAUAGUUAAAGCUUAUAUCUUAUAUUUGAACGCAUGCAUGCUUCAUCCCGGCUUUUAACUAACUCUUCUCAUUUUGCGCUUUCUCUUUUUUCUUUUUACUCCAAUCCCUCUUUAAUUACUAUUGGCCUUUCCCACUUGUUUUUGUUACUUCCCUUUUAUUUUGCACUCGUUAUUCUCUCUCGUUUUUUCAUUAUUUCUUUCCCCUCAAUUUCCUUUUAUUUUCUCUCCUCGUUUCCCUUUUCAUUUUAUGGUUAUGAUCAAAUCCUAUGGGGAUUGCCUACGUAUCAUGAUGUCGCAUGAAUCAGAUCAUUAUGUAGUUCAGGGAAUAAAUGCAAAAUAAAAGAAAGAUACAUUUUUGGGUUUUUCAAAUUUUCAUAAAAUAAAAAAAAACAUCCUAAUUACAACGACUUCUCCUACAGAAUUAAACAUAAAAACUAACAGACUCGGAAGGUGGCCUAACAGACUCCAAAAGAAAGAUGAAAAUAUAAACUCGAAAGUGGACUAACAAACUCCAAAAGAAACUAAAAGUACAGACUCGAACAAUAAAAUCAGAAAUACAUGAGUGCCUCAACUGCUGCUCCGGGGGCCCGCGGGACAUUAGUCGGUCUCGCCGCGGGCCUAUGCACCAUAUCUUCUUAGAGACGGAAUAUGUCAUUCAUGAUCUGACGGACAAAAAUCAUAACUGAAGCGAAGAACAUGGACCUGGUCAUGUCCUCGCAUUCGUUGCACUUCAUCACAAUGUAGUUCGCAAUCCUCCUAACCCUCUCCGUGGCAAUACCCUUCUCUUGUAGCAACCGUCCGAUCUGCUAUGAUAUGGCCCCCAAAACUUGUUCGGCUGUAUGAUUUUGCUUUUAAAGCUGUUGCAGGUCUUUUUCUAACUGCGACAUCAGGGCAUAGCAGUUCUCCCUUUCUGCUUUGAAGUUUCUUGCCUACUUGGUCAUUUUGUUCUCAAGGAUAUUGACCUUUUCUUUAGACCCAUCGUUCCUUUGUCGUAUUUCUCCCUCAGUUGUCGAACGAAACUUGCCCGUCCCACUGCAUUCUUUGCUAACUUGGCUCGGGCCUCUGCUAGUUCAGCUUCAGUCUUCUCUAACUCAAAACCGUAAUCGCAUACUUUCAGCCUGAGAUUUUCUAUAAGUUUCUUAUCCUUUUCACUCCUGAUAGGGUUCUCAGCUGCUAUUUUUAUUUUUCGGAUUUGGGCUCGGAGGGCUUCAUUUUCUUUGGCCAACCUCCUCCUUUCACCUUCCGUUUCUUGUGCCUGGAGAUCAUUAUUGAAUUCCAUGUUUCUCAAUUUCUCUUCCAAGGUGUGAAUGGCGGCUUGAUAUUUUUUCUCCUUUUCUCCCCAGGCCAACCUUUCUUGGACUUUAUAAUCAAAAGCUUGAACAUGAGGUCUCUUGGCAGGCCUUUCAAGCUCGGGCUCGGACUCUGGCUCGUUGUUUGCACAAUACCUUUUCUCAAACCAUGUAGUGUAAUCUGGAUCCACUUCCCCCUUUGCAACAUCUAGUACCUGGGUGCCAUUUUCAGAUAUCGGCAACCAUUUCAAUCCUGCGGAACUAAAGUCUCGGGCAAUGUAGCUUCUGUAUGUAGCUCAAUGACCUGGGUGGUUAGAUCUUCAUCUUCGGGCACCACCUGAUAUCUUCCUAACUACCUUAAGACCCUCUGCGGUGCAUAUGGUUGUACACUCCUCAUACCCAUCAACAUUAGGUAACCCUUGGUAGUUGUCAUGUGUAUGGUUUCUGUUAUCGGGAGCCAUCCUAUAGUCCACACGACCUGACUUGCUUUUAGAGCUUUCAAGUGGGAGACCCAGACUUCAAACCCAUAUGGAUAAUUGUAGUCUUUCACCCUUUCCUCAUAGCUCUUGAUGAAGUUAUCUGUGCUCGAACCAUAGCUAAUGAAUUUGGGGUGAUGGCGGAGAUGCUUGAUCAACCACAUUUGUAGAAGAAUAUUGCAACCUUCAAAGAAUUGAGCCCCGGCCUUGCACAAUGUCAAUGCUCGAUAAAUGUCUGCCAACACUAAAGGAGCAAGUUUAUGAUCUUUCUUAGUAGAGAGGAUUUGUGCAAAUCUGGCCAUACGGAUAUCCACUGCCCCUUCUGCAUUUGGAAAGACCAUAAUCCCCAAAAAUGCCCUAAUGAAAGCGAACCGAUGAUGAAUUUGCCAGAUGCCCUUAUCUUGUUUGUUUUUCAAACCCUUUUCAUGCGUUUCGAACCCAGCUGAGUGCCCGAACCUCAAGUACAAGAAGUAGAAAGAACAACAUCCUUUGUUUAUAUGGGCCUUCUUCCUUUGCUUACUGAUAUUCAGGAGGUCAAAGAACUUGUGCACAGAAGGAGCCCUUGGGAAUAUAAGUUGUUGUUUCCUCAAGUCCCGGCCAAACUCAAUAUACCUGGCCAUUUCCUCCAGAGUAGGGGUGAUCUUAAAAUCCGAGAAACGAAAAACAUUGUGGACGGGGUCCCAAAAGCUUACCAAAGCCUUGAUUAGAUCUUCCAAUGGUUCGAUUUCCAGAAUGUUUAUAAGGGCACCCAACUGCUCUUUCACCCAAUCAUAACCAUCUUCAUCUAGAUCAUUCCACCACAUACGCAGUUGCAGCUGAGCCUGUUCUAUGACCAACUGUAAUGGAUUCUGGACAGUGUUCAUUUAUACCUGUGGAAGUUUAAGGUUAGGUUUGACUCUGGUGGACUUUUUGUAAAACAGGUUUUCCAAUUUUUAAAAGAAAAAUCAACGGAACAUGACCCCCUCCCCUCUAUGCUACUUUUAGCAAAAGUGGCCGUUUUUGAAAACGUGGCCCCUUCACAAUUCCAAAUAAAUUUGAGGCCGGGGAAAAACACUUUAUGGAAAAAAAUGACACUUUACCGACAGACUUAUCCAUUCUUUAUGAAAAUAGCCAUUCGACAACUGAAAGAUACUCUAAGGCUAUCUCGGCAAGAACAACUUAAGACAUAACCGAAGCUGGGUCAGCUUAUGUUCUUGACCAAAACCCAAACUACAUCUAUUUGACUAUUUACUCUUCUUCUUCUUUUUUUUCGAAAAGUAAGGGCGAACCUUAUGUAGGUUGUCUACGUAUUCCACAUCCGGUGAGAAUCAGACCAUGCGUAGUUCGGUCAGUUUUGACAUAUUUGAAAGAGAUAUAUUAUUGACUCAUUUUGAAAUGACUCUUUUUCCUUGACUCUUUUCUUUUCUCUCUUUUUUUUUGAAAAUUUUGGUAGAGUUUCGGGACAUUUCGAAAUACUAGGGAUUUUUCAGAACCGGGAUUUAUUUCUUCCCUACAUCACUCUUGGUUUUUCCUUUGAUUUACUUUUCCUAGCCGAUCAAUAUGCAAGCCGAAACAAAUAAAUGUUCACAUAGCACAUAGGAUGCAUCAGGAUGGUCUGUUAUUUUGGGUACACCUAUCCUAGACGGACCCAAACCCUGUGUUGAGUCCCCAAAGUCAAAUGCACGUGAUGCAAACAAACGUUCUUACUAGGGAUCUGCCAUGAGGUUGUGUUAUUCUAAGUUUAAACCUGGAGUUGUGUUUUUGACCUGGCUUACCCAAGCGGACAACUCGAGCCGAAGGAGGGGCAACGUACCGGGAGCACUAAAGUCUACUCGGCCUUAUUGCAGGCCCAGCCUCGUUCUAUUUGGUAUGACUUCUAUAGAAAAAUCGGGCCACACGAAAGUGUGCACCAUUUUUAGAAGACUUAGAAGGGUGGCGUAAGAAGACAGUUUAAUACAAUUCACAUAAUAUCAAAGCGGUAAAUAAACGUCAAUUAGCACAUUGGGUCCACAAAAUACAGUAAUAUCAAUAAUAAAUAAAUCCAAGUAAAAAUCUUAUUAAAAAGCUCGAAUUCUUGAACCCUGAACUAGAAGUUCUGGAUUUUUAUCCCCAGCAAAGUCACCAGAGCUGUCACACCUCCUUUUUCCUACCCCGCAAGGGGUAAGGGAGUAUUUUCCAAUUUAAGUAACAAUCAAAAUGGGAUUAUUUAAUUAAAACUCAGAGUUGCCACUUAGGAUAAUUUAUGGUUUCCUAAGUCACAGGUUAAAAUUCCGAAUCGAGGAAGUUGACUCUAUUUACGGUCUGCGAACACAAGAUAUUCGGGUAAGGAAUUUUGUUAACCCGGGAGAAGGUGUUAGGCACUCCCGGGUUCCGUGGUUCUAGCACGGUUGCUUUGAUCAUACUUGGCUUAGACAAAUAUUUUAAUUACUCAUUUUAGAACCUAUGUGCAUUUGCCUCUUUUAAUUAAGGAAUUAUCCUAAAACGAGUCACGCGUACGUGUACUCAUUUCAUUUGGCGCGUAAAAAAAUCAUGUUACACGUACGUGUCCACAAUUAAUAACGCUUUAUUAUUAUUAAGAAAGUUUAGUCAAAGUUGCGCGAACACAUACUCCGAUUUUGUUUUUAAAAUCGUAAUUAUGUCACACGAACGUGUCCACAAUCACGACAAUACAUUAAACGCGCCUAAAGCAAACUACAAACAUUCACUUUUUAAUAUCUAGGUUACAAUAUUAAUGUGAGGACCAUAGGUGAUUCAAUUAUGGAUGGCACACCUCGAUCUAUUAGAAUUGUACUUAAUUAAAGCGGUCUAAAGAUGUUCAGGUUUAAUCUAAAUUAGGGUUCAAUCUAAACCUACUAAUUAUAAGCAUGCGUUGGAUAAUAUACUAGGUAUUUAAUUAUUUAAAAGAAUUCUGGGCCAGCAGUAGGCUCAAUAUUAUUUAAAAAAAUUUAAAAAGGAAAACAAGAAAAGUUGGGCUCGACAUCAAGCCCAGCGAUGGGGACAAAGGUGAGAGGCCACCAAAGUUUCGAAUGGCCAAGAACUGGGCCCAUGAUCAAACCUUCAAUAUUAGAAAAAAACAUUUCCAUUAUACCAAAUAUAAAACCUAAUGAAUUGAAAUUGUUGGAUAUAAUAGGGCUCAAAGUUGAGCCCAAGGAGCGGAAAGAAGACAAGAACAAGCACGUUGAGCCCAUUUCCAAGCAGGCUUCCUCAUAUAGGCCAAGGCUAGGCCCAAUCGCCUCUAACGAAGAAAAACCUUCAGUAUUGAGGCCCCAACAAGUCAUCUCCCUCUAAAUCAUCCAUGGCAAAAUAGUACAGAAAUUCUAGACAUUAAAGUGCAUGAACGCCCAGAUUAUAAACUAUACUGUAAUGACCUACUACAAGUAAUAAUAGUAUGGACAUGGAUUUUAAACUACUCAUUAAACAUACUAGUUCACAUAACAAAAGACUACUCUAGCAAUGCUGAAAUUAGACAAUUAAAAUGCGUGUGUUCAGCAGCCAGACAAUGUACAUGAUACUCAAAUCAACAUUCUUAAAUACAAAUGAGCUACGAAAGCCAUCUACUAACUUGAAAAUCUGAACCGUUCAUAAAGAGUGGACUAAUCUAAGCUUUAAUAUAUGAAAUUCCCCACUAAUCUAUUGCCCGUCAGCAGGUCCCAUAAAAAUCAUAACAAAACUGAAGGAAACCAAACUAAUAAUAAGCUAGGUAACUCAGGAAGAACACAUGUAAAGAACUAAAAGUUCAUGUUUUAACCACCAAAAUUCACAUUACAAAUACAUAUAUCAAAAAGAAAAGCAUACUUGCACUUCAAUAGUCAUCGUAGUCCAAGAAGUACCUGGAUAUCAAGAACAAAAUGAUGUGAAACAAGGAAUUCAACAAAGCAAAGGAGUGAAGGAAAUAGCAAAUAAUCAGCAAACACAUAGCUCCAGCUCAGUCCAUAUUUGAAUCAGAGAUUUGUUUACCGUGAAAAUGGUAACAAUAAUUAAAUUUAUAAAUGGGAUUCUAAAAAAUACGUGAUCUAUUCCCGAGCUAGUUGUUAGAGCAGUUGAUGCUAAGAACAUGAAGCUUAAUGAUGAAAUGCGAGCUAAAACAAGACAGUAAUCAACCGAAGGGGCCUAUUGCUCGGAUGCAAAGCUAGUCGAUAAGGACCUCAGAGUCAGGACUUGAAUUGAGCUCAAGCUAUCAGGGGCAAUCGGUAAUAGGAUAACAAUUAAGGAUACGAUCAAGCAAGGCUCUAUACGGCCAAAGUUGCACAAUAUAGCAUGACAUAAGUAAGAUGACAAUAGAUGUUAAAGCGGCCUCAAGCUAGUAAGAGCGAACAAAAUAGGAGAAAGAGAGAAAGAUAUUAUUGCUUUGGUGGAGAAAUGGAGCUACAUCAGCCCUUUACAAAGUGGUAUGGGUUCCCCUUAUAUAGUCAAGGGAACACGGUAUGGUACAAAUAUGUGGAGAUUAAACACAAAGUACGGAGAUGGGAUAGUUUGACGUGAUGCCUCAGCAUAGGCUCUGGAUAGGUCGGGCUUGUCAGACGUAGCCAUGUACCUUGGGGGCUUCCCCCUCUAUCCUGGCUUCGGUCUUCGUUUCCUCCGAGUCGGGCUCCGACGAGCCAGAAAUCAAGUCUUCUUAUUUUGCCGCAUACAGAUAGUCUCCGCAUUUCCCGUAAUGAAGAGAUGGGAAAUGAUUCUGACACUUGACUCCUCAAGCUCUUUCGGCGACGACAUACCUAUUAUACGACUCCUGGCCUGAGCUUCGCGGUGAUUGGACAUCCAUGGGCUCGUGCUUUUCAACUUCAUUCAUUGCACUCUUGAUUCUCGUUUUUCAAGGCGAAGGUACCGCCGUCGGUUUAAUUUUCGAUGGAUGCGAUAGAUGUGCCUGUCGGUCAGUCUUCCAAAGUCUGGAUGACUGUGUCGUAAUCUCCUAUAAAUAGGGUGCCUUGGCUUUGCUUUUCCCAUCCCAGUGCUUCCGUUGGCUCGCUUGCCUUUCCCUUUUCAUCAUCUUCUUUCACCCCUGAACAUCAUGCUAGGGGCUCAUGACCUUAAGACUAUUUAGAGGAGUUCCCUUAGACCGUGUUGUGGCCUUUUGCCGGGGCUUUCCUUCAUUGAUCAUAAGCGUGUUGUCCCGCUAUUUCUAUGGUUGUAGGUAUGCUGGCCCUUGCAGCUACUGCUGCUGGCCCGAGGUGAUGGGGGACGGGGAGUCGGUUUCUCCCUUAUGUAGAUAGUCAUUCGGAUUAUGCACUGCUGCUCAAAAGGGGGCUCGGAUUAUACACCGCUACUCACCUUCAUACCCCGACUCGACGUAGUGCUCUACUCCGAGUUGGGGGCUUGAAUGGCUAGACGUUCCAAGAAGUGGAUUCAAAGUAGUCGUGCAAGCGGGACCGAGGAUUGUUCAGUCCGCAGUCUCUCCGAGGCUUCCUUGGCCAAAGAGUGUCCUCGAGCUUCGAAGAGCCAUGGCAUUUUUUCAUCCCUCUUUUCUACUCGCCUUGUCCCUUGGGUAUAUCAGUAUGGAAAGUUGGGAUGAACUCUCGAGGGGGUGUGUCCGGAGGCGCCUAUUGUGGACUUUCGAAGGUGGAUCGAUCUUUGGGCUUUCACCUUGCGUGUGCAUCCCUUUGUCUCUUCCUUUAGGCGUAGACCCCUGUAGGCUUUUGCAUUUUGUAUGUAACGACCCCUCGAGUGCUGCUUGUACACAAACUUUUAUGAAUAAGAAUACACCACGUUGAUUUCUGCUUUUCUUACUUCUGUAUGCUUUUAUACCCUCUGAGGCCCUUUGAAUGCUUUCUUUUGUUUGUUGGCCGCUAAUAUCGGGCUUGGGCGCUGCCGUCCAUCCCGGUCUUCUACUGAUCGGCAUGGCUCUCUUCCAAACCCAUCGUCGUACUUCAAACCAAUCUUAGAUCGAUCUGAUAGGUCUAGGCUAUCGAGGCCCUCCGAGUUGUAUGGAGAUCAUGCGUCGAAUUCUGGGGCCUUUGGGAAUGCCACCCUGGAUGAAGGUCAUCUUUGGGUAUCCGAGGGCCCCUAUUGAUCUUGAUGUAGAUAGCCACGUUAAAAUGUAUAGGAUAGACUUCUACUGAGGAGUUUUCAUGUAUUCAGGCGCUUCCUCGAACCUUCAUGGAGCUUUCGUGAUCGGAGCUUCCUGUGUUUAUUCCUCUUUUCAGAAAGAGGGGAUCACGAGACCAGGUACUUGCCUUGUGUCAAAUGUUGGCGUUUAAGGCUUCCCAAAGUCCGACUUCUUUGGGUCAGGGUUUCUUGACGUAGAGUGCUAUCUUUAGCUCGGAGAUAAUACGAACGGCCCCUCGAGUCUUUACUUAUCGUCGAAGAAUGCUUUCUGAUCAGGUAUUGACCCGUCGAUCUGUAUCGAGGUUGUUGGCUUCCCGGGUCUUGCCUCGAUCAGGCGAGUCGUCACUACUUCUCGCAUAUAUGUGGGGCAGCUUCGGCUUUUUCGUAAAACUUCACUAUUUUUAGACAGCCGCCUUUUUGCUUUGGCACGGGGUACUUCAUCUCUUUAGGCAUAAAAAGUGUUGUCUACGCCCUUGCUUUGACCUGUUAUUUUCAUCAUAGUCAUGGAAACCACUUCGGGCCGAUCCGGCAAGGGACAGGGGGUGCUGCUCCUGGUGCUCAGGAAUCGAGGGAGUUCGCUCUGGAGAUGACAUCCUUGAUAAGAGAGAAACACAUGGCGCUGGCGAGGAGAUACUGCGGGUGGAGUGAGGGGAUAACACUGUAGGUGCUUUCCCCAGAUAAGGGCAUUGCGGAGUCCACCGAUGGAUUCUUGAGGGUAUACCUAUACCCUUUCGCAUUUUGCCCCCCUGAUAGGGUUGUGCUUGAUUUUUGCUUAAAGUAUCGGGUUACCUUGGCAUAGAUGCAUCCAUCGUUUUGGCAAAUAGCGUUGAUGAUGAGGUUCUUUGCGGAGAAGGCCGGGCUUGAAUUCACACUUGAUCACCUUGUUAGGCUAUAUUGGCCAUUCCAUCAUCGAGGCCUGCUAACUCUGAGGUGUCAUUCAUCUACGCCCUUUGUUAUUGAUGACGGGGAAAGCGGGGAUCGAGAGUGGGCUAGUUGGUUUAUCCGGGUCCGGACGACUGACAUUAUCCCUGUGGAGUUUUUGCCAUUUCCUGAAGGGUGGAAUUAUGCACGUGAGUGAGGCGUUUGGCACUUUUUCAGGUUUUGCCUAUAGCGAGAAUCAGCUGAGUAAUAAUGGUGUCUCCCUUGUUAUAUAAACUUUGUGGAGGCCAGGUGAAGUCUAUGAUCUGCCUGGCUGGGUCCGGAAUCUAGUGACCUAUUCGUCCUGCGAUGAGCGCAGGUGCCGAGCUGUACUUCGUACCAGAUGGGGAGCGCAGUACCAAGGUAUGUGCGUAUGCUUCCUUUGCCUUGACUUCGCAUACCUGAGGUAAUAUUUUCCCCUUCAAUUUGUGCUGGAUUUGUCGUUUGCAGAUCUCUGGCGGUUCCUUAGGAUGGGGCACCCACGGUGUGAUGGAGCCUUUAGUGGUGCUAGUCGGGCUCAUAUUUUCGAGGAAGGGGCAUCGCCCGGGUCCGCUGCUCUUGGAGCGCCUGAUUUUUGGCUGGCUAUUCCUUUGAGCGAAUACGUCGUGCCCGAGAUCGGUUCUUCUGGGGCCGCAGGGGAAAAAUCAACAGGAGUGUGUUCUGACUUCGAGAAAGUCUGUUGGCUUCACUUUGUGGUGAGUUCAUGUACAGUUUCCCUAUGCCCCGUGCCCUCCUCCCUCUAUUGAACCUUCCUUGUGCAGGCCUGUGAUAGGCUUAGGUUUGAGCUGCUCCGUCAAGGGUCAAAGCUUUAGAAAUUUCUGGAUGAGGGCGAAUCCCUUAGGCUCCUUAGAAAGGAGAAGGAAGUUGAGCUGCAGCAUUGGCGACAUGAGGCGCACCGGAGCUCAAACUAUGAGAGCUAUUUGAUGGAGUAGGUAACUUUAUGUAGUACGUGCUUCGCUCCUUUCUAACCUUAAGGCUAACCCCUUUUGCCGUAUAAGUUGCGGAUAAAGGCGGAGGCCUUGGAGUACCUCAAAGGCAACGUCAACCGUGUCAGAGUUGCUUGCGGGGAGCUAAAAGUUCAACUGCAGGCUCGAACUUUGGAGGAGAUGAGUGCCUCGGCUAAGGUUCCUGCCUUCGAGGUCCAACUCUGCUUGACUCAUGACAACGUCAAAGUUCAAGCGGAUAUGAUUGGGAAACUCGAAUUUGAUCUCUCGAAGGUCGGGGCUAAGAUAAUUGAUGCCUGGGCAGAAGCGGCACUAAGCCAAACCAAGGUCGAUCGUGAGAUGGCGAUUCGUAUGAAGGAUGCUAUUGAUUCCCAAGUUGAGCUGAAGCGAGCCCUCAACCGGGGGAACAAGAUCGAGGAAUAUAUUCGUUGUAGAUCCCGAACAGAGGCACUCGAGGAGGUCGGUGUAAGGGGUUUCAUCCUCUCCGAGGAAUUGGCUCGAGCAAGGGUGAAUGGGCGUGAUGCUCGGUCAUUUCUUGUUGACGUUGCGGAGGGUGAACUCAACAUGUUGUAGCCCUUUAGUGCAGAGUGUAGACUUUACCAUAUUGUCGCUUUAGACUUUUCCAUUUUGUCGCUUUGGACUUUGCCAUUUUGUCGCUUUGUCUCUGAUAUACGUAGUGCAUGUCUGUAGAUGGAGAAUGCGCUUUUUCGCACAUGUAAAAUAUAAGAAGAAACUUGAAGCUUUGUUUCUCCUGUACUUUUUUUCUAUUGUUGCUUUCGAUUGGGCCGGCUGAUUUUGGUGUUUGGCGAGGUCCUCAUAGGCCCAGAAUGGAUCGGACAGACCCGGGGGAUCUUAAGUGCGAUCCUUGUUGCGAGUAGGUGUUGGGGCCUCCGUGCUUGGCCUGGCUAUUUAGGCUUAGUCUCCAAGUCGGGCUCUGGCUCGAGCCUUCUUGUCCUCAAAUUUUUUGUGCCCGUGCAGGCGGUUUUAUCUCUUGCCCUUGGGCAUUUGCUGUUCCAACUCUUUUGGGUCCAGUCUUCGAGUCGCAUUGUGACUCGAGCUUCAAUUGACCCUCAAGAUCUUUCUUGCAUGCAUGGGCGGAUGAUGAUGGCCCUUUAUUCUCUGGGUCGAAGUGACUUUAUGGGUGCAUUGGCCGGAGGUUUACUCGGCCGGUGAUAGUGGUACUUAUGCCAUGCUCUUAGGCGUAUAGUAGUUUUCGGGUCCAGUCUCCCAGUCGCAUUGCGAUUCGAGCAGUAAUCGACCCUUAAAUUUCCUUGAUUUCCCGACCGGCGACUGUGGUUCUUAUGUUGUGCCCUUAGGCGUAUUGCAGUUUUCGGGUCCAGUCUCCGAGUUACAUUGCGAUUCGAGCUGUAAUCGACCCUUAAAUAUCCUCAAUUUUCUAGUCGGCGAUAGUGGCACUUAUGCCAUUUGGUCGUUGAGACCUUUCAGUAUGUGGCCUGGAGGUUUGCAUAGUUAACUAUUUUGGAUCCGGUCUCCAAAUCGGAUUACGAUUUGAGCUCAUUUUAAUCCUCAAGUUGUCAAAAUUUUUUAGCUGGCGACAAUGGCUCUUAUGCUAUUUGGUCAUAGAGACCUUUCAAUAUGAGGCCCGUAGGCUUGCUUAGCUGGCGACAACGGCUCUUACGCUGUUUUUGCCCAUGGUCUUUUUUGUAGGCUUUGUUUCCACUCGUUAAGGUCUUUUUAGAGUAUUUUUGCCUGACCCAUCGUCGGUUCUAGAGGAACCUCGAUUUCAAGUCGUUGUCGGCGAUGUUUCAAGCACCUCGUAAGGUUUAUAGAUCGUAGGUCGAGUAGAUCGACGCUCUUGCGGUUUGGAGCCGACGUGGUCGAAGCUCGUUUUUGCCUGUUGAGGGAAGCCUGUUUUAAUCAGUUCUUUCCGAAGUAUAUUCGAAGUAGUGACCUAUGAUUUUUAGCGACAGUCGGGCAUCCCCGAGUCGCGUUAUUUUGGCUGUAUUAGCCAUUUUGACCGUAGUCAUGUGCAUUUGGCCAUAGCCAUUUUUUAUCUCAAGCGAUAGUUUAGGCGUCUACACCGAGCAUAUGCCCUUUAGGGAUUCUUACAAAUGUGAUGUAUAGCCUAAACUUUGGGGUUUCCAUGCCUGUUGAGGUCUUACAGUUUAUCAUUCCUAUUGAGGUCUUACAGUUUGUCAUGCCUAUUGAGUCUUACAAGUUUUAUGAUGUAUAAUAGAUCAGGUUAUGCCGAAUCUGCCUGCUAGGGGUCUUACAGUUUCGGAUUUUCUAGUGCUUGGCGAUUGGCAACAGUCUCCGAGUCAUCGAGUUUGUUUAAGCAUGAAGACCACUUCUCGUGAAUGCGGAGUUGCAUUGUGAGGGCUUUAUGAGCCCGGGGUUCCAACCUUGGGGUCGUGUGGGCGUUGAACCGUUUAAGUCUUCGAGUAUCUCGGGACGUAUACAGCGGAGAGGCCUUUGCUGCGAAUAUGCCGAAAUAGCCUUUUUGAAGUAUGAAAUGCCGAAAAGAUAUUCUUUAUUGCUUGGCGUAAAUAUAGGUUGAAAAUACAUGUCGUCUCGUUGCUGUGAGCUUGGCCUGCGUGGGUGUGGCUCCUCUGAUCAUCUGAUCCGUUUACAUGAUUCUGUUUUGAAACUUAUCCUGCCAUUUUUUGGCCCUUCCGAGGGGACGGUGUCCUUAAGAGAAGGCCAUCACACGCCGUCUGACUGUAGAAACAAAGCUUGCAAUUUUGUGGGAUCCUCUUCUAGGGGGGUGUGCUGCUCUACUAAUAAUCUUGCUGGAAGAGAGCAUGGCGGGCCCCGAAGAGGCCUCGGAUCUCCGAGUGGAGUUAGAACUUAUGAAUGCCUUGGUUGACUGCCUGCAUAUAGGUUAGCAAAAGAAAAUAAACAAUAAGGGAGAGGAGUAGUUCUUCCCUAUUGCGGGAUGUGUAGGCGACGUUUCGAGGUUUGGUAUGUUUCUACCAUUUCGAGGCGUCUUAAUACAGCCUUCUGCUGUGUUCAACCAGGCUUGGCCAAAUAUGUGGUUCUGCUCACCCUUUGAUCCCUUCGAGGGCGGAGGCAUUGAUGCCAACGAUGGGUCAUAUGGUGAGGGAUUUCCUCUCGCCGCGUGUAGCUCCUUGUCGAAUACUUUAGUCCCACCUCUUUCGUGGAGUUUCAUCCCUUUGGCGGAGUGUGGUAGAAGUCGCCUCCGGGCAGUGCGCCCGUUAUCAUUUGAAUGAAACAUCCUUGUUUCGCAGGCUCGACGUUCCAGCCCGAGCUCAAGCGGGCUGUAUAGAGGGAGCAGCCUUCCUGAUUGUUGUGGCGAUCGGUGUCUGGAAUCCAUCAAGGAUUCGAGGUGUGGGAGUGAUUUGGUUCGUUAGUCCGAACCUCCCCAUUGACUUUGGCCUGACAUCGUCAGUAUAAUUGAUCGAACCAUCUGUACUCAUGAACACAUGUUUUAUUUGAAAUAGGUCAAAUAAGGGAGGGGGUUACCAAUCGCGUUAAUACGAGGCUGAGGCGAAGUCUCGGUGUCCCUUUCCUUGGAUGUAAGGGUGUCCUUUGGGUAUAUUCCCCGAACUCAUCUUUCCCCGGCGAUGAGCCCUUUCACUCUGCAUUUUAUGAAUCUUUGAAGGGUGUCGCCGCCCUUUUACUGUCGUGGCAAUACGUUGUGGCUUGCAUCUUCAUUUUUCCCGAUCUCCUUUCUCCAUUGGAGGUGGAUCUGAGCCUGACCGCUCAAUGAUACUUGGUGGAGAUUUCUAUUUAAUAGCACAAUUGUCAUUUUUUGAGUCGGUGACUGCGCGUGCCCUGCAUUUCCUGCGAUGGGCCAUAGUUCCCUUGAAGGGGUCUUGGUCGAAUAGGUCUGAGCCGCCUGGCGUUCCCAGUUUCGCUUAUGGUGAUCAUGAUGUUUGGUAUAGCAAUGCUGAAAUCGUACUCGGUUGGGUGGGGUUCCCUACUAGCUGUGCCUUGUUGAAUCUGGUUCUAUUGGAGGUUCCUCGAGGGUGCUGUCCUCGGGCUAUUUCCCUAUUGUUGCGAGGUAGGUUGCAUCUCGAGUCGUUCCUUCCGUUCGCAGCACAUGGAUGAUACCUCCAUCCGUUUGGCAUCAGCUUCUUUGUCGGGAGUCUGCUUGGAUAUACCAAACCCGAGAAGGUUCCCGGACGGUUGUCCACGGCCCGAUUCGUAGCCGGUGUCGGGUGUGGGAAUCCAACCAGACCCAUGCUGGGUAUGUUAUCAGGCUUCGCUUGAAAUGUCCUAGAGUCAUCAGGCAUGCUUCGUUCAGGCCUCUGGUGAAGGCCUGUGUUGCUCGAUCGUCUGAAACCGGGAGCGAUCUCAUUCGUCCUAUCAGGGAAUGGGGUGUGGCUUCCUGCGGUAUUUCAUUUCUUCUUUGUUUGGCCUCAGGUGUAUCGGGCCUUCUCAGUACUACUUUGAUAGCAUUGGCGCAUGCUUCCGCGGAGGACCACGCUGGUAUGGUAAGCGAGUCUGUGAGGUGAGGUGCCAGGCGGUGGCGCUGCGUCAUGGUUUCUUUUGAGAGAGUUUCUUCGAACUUCUCAACGAGACGGGCUCGAACUCAUUAUCUUGGAGGUUGCUGCCUUUGAAUGAGCUUGCUUAAGUGGUGGUGCGCCCGUAAGGAUCUGAGGUCCUGUCGCACUUAGGGGGUUUCGGCAUUCCGGAUUUUUGUAAAGCGAGUUCCGGGAUCGUUUCCUUGGGAGACGGUUGUUGUAAGAGCUUCCAUGAACCUGAUUCGGUCCUUUCAAAGAGAUUCCCAAGCAUCCUCACUAUGCCGGGGUCGGUUACCGAUCUGUCGUUACUUGAUCUCUCGGGUACGAGCUCGGCGUAAGAAGGUGCCUCUAGCGCUACUGCGUUGGGAGUCUCCGGGCGACUUUGCAGAUGAGCGAUAGCCAACUGUCAUGUCUGUAACAUUUCAAAAAUAACAUGAAGAUUAACAUCCUUUUAUACCCGGGCCGGGGUUUUUUGAGCUUCUUGUCAGUCAAUGCGAUGUAUGCUGUCAUCGGUUCGCGAGGCUUCGUCGACCUGUUGCGCGCCUUGUAAGCCCGCGUCUGCUUGAAUCGACCUAAAUGCGUUACCGGAGUCCUAUAGUGACGCGCUAAACUAUGGAACAAUUGAUGCUAAGAAAGUGAAGCUUAACGAUGAAAUAUGAGAUAAAACAAGACAGUAAUCAAAUCGAAGGGGCCUGUUGCCCGGAUGCAAAGCCGGUCGAUAAGGACCUCGGGGUCGGGACUCGAAUCGAGCUCGAGCUAUCGAGAGCAACUGGGAAUAGGAUAACAAUUAAGGAUACGAUCAAGCAAGGCUCUAUACGUCCAAAGUUGCGCAAUAUAGCAUGACAUAAGUAAGAAGACAAUAGAUGUUAAAGCGGCCUCAAGCUAGUAAGAGCGAACAAAAUAGGAGAAAGAGAGAAAGAUAUUAUUGCUUUAUUGGAGAAAUGGAGCUACAUCAGCCCUUUACAAAGUGUUAUAGGUUCCCCUUAUAUAGGCGAGGGAACAUGGUAUGGUACAAAUAUGUGGAGAUUAAACACAAAGUACGGAGAUAGGAUGGUUUGACGUGAUGCCUAAUCAUAGGCUCUAGAUAGGUCGGGCCUGUCAGACGUAGCCAUGUGCCUUGGGGGCUUCCCCCUCCAUCCUGGCUUCGGUCUUCGUUUCCUCCGAGUCGAGCUCCGAUGAGCCCCGAGGUCAGGAACUUGGUCGCGGCCUCCCGCCCUCGGGGUCCCGAGGCAUGCUUCCAAAAUGUCCCGACAGCGAGAAGUCAAAUCUUCUGAUUUCGCCGCAUAAAAGAUUCAGAAAAACUAGAAAAACUUCAGAGUAUUUUUGUUUCUUUUUCAGAAAAUUAGAACCGAACCAAUUCAGCUCUUUUUUUUAUCAAACAGUGCAGAAACGUUUUUGUAUUUUCUAGGGUUUUGAAUCUCUAUUUUUAAGAGUGAGGGAGGGGUUCUACUUAUAGGCAGCCCAAUGACAUGUGCUGAAAAAUAGAAAGAUAGGGAAUUAUUCUCUCACACAAUCCCUAAAGGCAUCUUUCUAACAGAAUUGGGAUAGUUGUCAACCUCUAAUUGGUUUCAUCAUUUUUGUGUUGGCCAAAUAGGGCCAGGUGCCCCAAAUUCUAGAAGCUUCUAACCUUAACCUUAUCUGAAAAAUCCUAUUUCUAUUUUCCAAAUUAACCCCUAAGUUUCCAUUUAUUCAAUUAACCCCUCCUAAGUUUCUAAUGAUUUGCAAACUAUGGCAAACAAGAACAAGGCAAGCAAACAUGAACCAACGGAUUAAAAGCAAACAAAAACCUCAGAGUCAAAAGUUUGAGUAUCUGAAAACUAGCAAAUAAACCUACACCUUUAACAUGAAACCAAUUUAUAAUAAACUCUAGAUUAACAUGAAACUAAACCAAAAGCUAAUUAAACGAUGCAUUCAUACUAGACUAUGAUUCAAAAAAAAAGAAAAAGAAAAAGGAUAACUGAAACUACUAACUAUCUUAUGAGCUAAAUUAAUCAUGAGCUAAACUAAAUCAGUAAACCCAAAUGAAACUUGAACAAACAACUGGAGUGAUUCCGAAACCAAAUGAACAAACUAAUUCACCCUAAAACAAAAUUACUAACUAACCACGUCCAAAGAACAAACAGAUUUAUAAAUUGAAAAUCAAUCGAGAAAGAACACUGACUCGACAUUUGAAGAAGAGAGAAAAAAAAGAAAUGGAGAGGUAACAUGAUGAUACCUUACCAUUUGGACUGAAAAAAACAAACGAAAUAAGCUUUGAGGUCCGUCUCCACCUUGACUGACCAACAGAGGUCUUUUCCUUCAAGGGAUCCGGUCUUGCAUGGCUUUGACCGGAUCUCCUUGAAAGAAAAGAUUUCUGGAAGCCUAAUCUUCGAGGGGAAAACAGCAAAGAAGCUUUGGAUUUUUAACGAAAUUUGAAGCAGCACUUGGUGCCUUUCUUUGAACCGGAUAGAACUUGAUCUUGGAUUUGAAAUUGAAAAGCUUUGUGGGGUUGUUUGGGAAAAUCAGUGAGGUAUUGAGGGCGAGGGGAGUGAGGAGAUUGUGUGAUCAGAUUCUGGGCGGACUUGGGCGAACUAGGGUUUAGGGGACUGAUUCUUAGAUCUAAUUUUGGAGGACUUGGGUAGGGAUUUUGGAGAAAAGGUUUAUGGAUUUGGAAAGGGGAGGGAAAGGGGGUUGCCUGGUAAAAUUUGGGGAGGUUUAGAUCAUCGGAACCGCCGUGAUGCGAUUUCUGGUGGUGGUUAGCGACGGAGGCGGCGGGGGUUUUUUAGGCGCCAAGGUUUUGCUUCAUGUUGAAGGGGACGAGGGAAUGAUUGGGUUUGACAGGUGGUGGGGAUUCUUUGUUAGGACAGUUAUAAGGUUUGGUUAAUUAGUUCUGAACUGGUGGAUCACUAAGAUCCAACGGAUGUGAUCAGGGACGGGCAAAACAGGGUCGUUUGGCUUAGUGGGGUUUGGACCGGGUAAGGGGUUUGGGCUUGGGCGGAUUUGAGUUGGGUAAGGGAUGUGUUUGGGGCGGAUUUGGGGAAAAAAUUUGGUCUUCAGCAUCAAUUGGCCCAAAUUGGAUUUUAAGACCAAGUUUUUCAAUUCCCUUUUUCUUUUGUUUUCUUUUCUUUAUUUAAUUAAUUAAAUUCCUAAAUUAAUCUAAGUUGUAAAAUUAAAUUAAUUAUCAAAUUAUAAAAUUUAUAAAAAUUAAUUGAUCCUAAAUUAAAAGAAAAGAACUACUGAUCGAGAAUUAAAAGCUAAAAAUGUAAAAGUAAGCCAAUUUAUUUUAUUUUCAUUUUUAAUAAAGCAACUAAUUUACUAAUUAAUCCUAAAAAUAUGGAGAAAAAAAAUCUCAAUGCAAUUCAUGGUAUUUUUGGUAUUUUCAUGAUUUAAAUAAAAGUAAAUGUGCACAGAAAUGCAAACAAUUAACAAAAAAUCCUAUAAAAUUACAGACAAUUGGGAAAAAAUCUAUUUCUUUAAAUUAUAGGAGUAUUCCAUAUAGAGCAAAAAUCACGUGCUCGCAGCUACUUGUCAGAUAUUGUUUACCAUUGUUGAAGUUAUUACAUAUCUCGUAGUUUCAUUGUCUCAUAUUAUUGUCUUAAGCUGCUUAUCGGUGUUUUAUGGCAUAUUUUGGAUUUAUUUUGCUGAGUAGUAUUAUUUGUGUAAAGUUUCUUAAUGUACAACCUUUCCGUUUAUUUUGGUUUGAGGUUUAAAUAUUGUGGAGUGUUUUGAGUUAANNNNNNNNNNNNNNNNNNNNNNNNNNNNNNNNNNNNNNNNNNNNNNNNNNNNNNNNNNNNNNNNNNNNNNNNNNNNNNNNNNNNNNNNNNNNNNNNNNNNNNNNNNNNNNNNNNNNNNNNNNNNNNNNNNNNNNNNNNNNNNNNNNNNNNNNNNNNNNNNNNNNNNNNNNNNNNNNNNNNNNNNNNNNNNNNNNNNNNNNNNNNNNNNNNNNNNNNNNNNNNNNNNNNNNNNNNNNNNNNNNNNNNNNNNNNNNNNNNNNNNNNNNNNNNNNNNNNNNNNNNNNNNNNNNNNNNNNNNNNNNNNNNNNNNNNNNNNNNNNNNNNNNNNNNNNNNNNNNNNNNNNNNNNNNNNNNNNNNNNNNNNNNNNNNNNNNNNNNNNNNNNNNNNNNNNNNNNNNNNNNNNNNNNNNNNNNNNNNNNNNNNNNNNNNNNNNNNNNNNNNNNNNNNNNNNNNNNNNNNNNNNNNNNNNNNNNNNNNNNNNNNNNNNNNNNNNNNNNNNNNNNNNNNNNNNNNNNNNNNNNNNNNNNNNNNNNNNNNNNNNNNNNNNNNNNNNNNNNNNNNNNNNNNNNNNNNNNNNNNNNNAUGGAGUAAUAAGAGUGAAUAUUGAUAUUGAUAUUGAUUAUAUGGUGGGAUAGGGCUGCGUGCCGCAUCAGUUUAAGUGUUUAUGUAUCAUUUUUCUACUGUGUAAGUUAAUCUGUAGUUUUGUAUUUCACUUAAGGAUUGGUUAUAGCUGGAUACUGAUAAGAUACUUGAGUUCUGUAUUCAGUCCUUGUAAGUUACUAUUUAAUUUUGUUCCGUUUUUCUUUUUUCUUUUAUUUUACACUGUAUGCAGGUUAUAUUUUAAUUGCUCCGCCAUAGCCUCAUCACUACCUCAUCGAGGUUAGGCUCGGCACUUACCAGUACAUGGGGUCGGUUGUACUGAUACUGCACUCUGCCCUUUCUAUGCAAAUUUCGGAGCAGGUAGUGGCUAACUAAGAGAUUGACUUCAGGUUACACAGUUUAGAGACCAAGGUAGUCCUACUGGCAUCCGCAAGCCCUGGCGUCCCCUUCUACAUCUCUAUAUUACUAAUUUCUUUAUUUCCAAAACAGUUGUUAUUUCUUUCAGACCGAUGUUUGUAGAAAAUUAUAGUAUGUUCGUGGAUUGUGACACCGGAUUCUGGGUAGUAAUAACAAUUGUAUUGGUAAUAGUAUAUAAAUAAAGAGGUUGUUUACUUACUUCCGCAAUUAUUUACCCUUGUUUUAGUUUGUUUACUUUUAAUCAAUGAAACGUAAAGGAAAAUGGUUAACAAAACUCUAACGUUGGCUUGCCUAGCGAGUGUGAUGUUAGGUGUCAUCACCGUCCUGAUGGUGGAAAUUCUGGAUCGUGACAAGUCGGUAUCAAAGCUCUAGGUUGCCUAGGUCUCACAAUUCAAGAACAAGCAUAGUAGAGUCUGAGGGAUCGGUACGGAGACGUAUGUGCUUAUCCCCAGAGGCUACAGAGUUUAGGAACAAUUUCACUUCUAUUCUUCCCAGUCAUGCGAUUUGAUCUCUCAAUGCUAAUUGAACUAUCUACUCUUGUUCCUUCAUAGAUGGGAGAAUACGUACCGCUUCAUCAGCUGAGAAGCAGCUAGAGCCCCUAGUGGCAGCUCCUACGAAGGGCAGAGGACGAGGACGAGGACGAGACCAUGCUAGAGGACGGGGCAGGCCUCAUCCCAAAGCUUGAGCAGCAGCACCAACGGUGGAGCCUCAAGUAGAGUUUUAUAAGGAGGCACCAGCUGAGAGCGUUCCAGCAGGGCCAGCUCAGGUUCCAGAGGGGUUCAUCGCUACCCCGGUACUUCAAGAUGCUUUGGUCCGUCUAGUGGGCCUUAUGGAGAGUGUUGCUCAGACCAGUAUAUUUCCCGUAGCACCAGCCGUCUCUUGGGUUGGGGGAGGAGCUCAGACUCUUGCUACUCACACUCCGGGGCAGAUGGCUCCCCAGUUUCAGACUCCUGUAGCUCAACCUGUUGGUGCAGUUCUGUCGUGUGUUGUAGCACAGUCUGGUGAUGGAUCAGCUAUGUCUUCUGAGGCCUUGUUGAGAUUAGACAAGUUCAACAAGCUCUUUCCAGUUCAUUACAGUAGGGGCAGCUUCUGAGGACCCACAUGAUUAUCUUGAUAUCUACUAUGAGGUGCUAGGGAACAUGGGAUAGUGGAGACUGUCACAUCUCCUUUUUCCCGAGUGGGAUAUAAGGGAGUUUUUCCAAUUAAAGUGACAUAAAUCGAAAUGGGAUUAUUUAUUUGAUUCAGAGUCGCCACUUGGAAUAUUUUAUGGUGUCCCAAGUCACCGAUUUAUUUUCAAAUCCCAAAUCGACGAAAUUGACUCUAAUUUUUGGUCCGUGAACAUAGAAGACCGGGUAAGGAAUUCUAUUAAUCCAGGAGAAGAUGUGAGGCACUCCCGAGUUCCGCGGUUUUAGCACGGUCACUCAACUAUUAAUAAUUAUCCUAUUUAUCUGAUUUACUACAUGUUUAGAACCUAUUGUGCAUUUUUAACUUUAUAACCGCUUUUAUUUAUUUAUGGAAUUAUUUCUGGAACAAGUCACGAUUGUCGUACACUAGUCAUUUUGGUACACAUUAUAAACCGUGUCACGGGAAUCGUACCCGCGAUCUACAACAUGUUUAUUUUUAUUAUUAUUCGAAGUUAUGGUCGGGUCACAUGAAAUGCACACCUGAAUUGGGAUUUACAUAUCGUGACCAUGCCACGGGAACCGUACCCAUAGUCACGAUAAUUUAUUUAAACGCACCUAAAGCAAAUUAGGAUGUUUGUAGUUUCUCUUUGGCUACAUUUGAGAUUGUUGUGAGAUCAUGACUAUUGGAAUUAUUUUGGAAAAUCAGAAAGAGUGAUUACAUAGAAGGGCUUCUUGUACCUAGCUUAAUUAACUUAGAGACUUUGAUAUUUUAUGAGUUUUCACGCCAAUUACCAAGUUAGUAACCAUGAAGAUCCUCUGUUUGCCACAUGCAGAUCCAAACUCCAAAAAAAUGAGCAAAUUACACGCUGAAUCGACUCCGCUUGUGUUCUAGCUAGAGAUAAGGAUUAUCCCCAAGGAAUUAUCAUCACACCAAGCCGAUUAACCUCCCGGAAACAUACAGACGAAACCAAGAUUAUGAGACUAAAAUUAAAGUAGAGCAUAUAAGAAUUCAUAAAUAGUUACUCUUCACUAUAGAACAUGGAAAAAAAAUGAAUUUCGCUAUAAGACAUAACCAAAUCAUUUUACCAUUCAAGCAAUUAAAAGCUAAACCAAAGUUGUUGAUUCACAACUAACAUAGACUCCUUAAAUUCCACACAUAAUAGCAUGCUCUAGUGGCUAUGUCAUAUUAAACAAAUCAAGAUAGUUGGAUAUAAUCGGGAUUACUGAUUAAAAUUAUUGUGAAUCCAAUUUGAAUUCGAGAUGCAUAAGAAAUUCUUUGAACAACAGAAAAUAAAUGCAAUAGCACAAUGUUUCGCCUAUCAAUCACAGAGCUGAUCAGAAGUUCAGUCAUUUAGGUAAAAGUCGAGCAAGUACGAACUUAAAGAACAUUUCAAACACAUAAAGAAAUCAAACACCUUAAUUUAUAAAAAACAAAAAUUCAGAAAAACUGAUGAUAGCUCGAUCACAGCCUGCAUUCACUUACACUCACUUAGGUAUGACAUGUAAUUUAAACUUCCAUAUCUUAAGCUCCACCCAUACUUGGAUCCAUACAUACAUAAACAAAGUAAGAUAAGAUGUGAACCUAAAUGAGAGCUUUCGAUUAAUUUGCUAGUAGGCGAUUAUAAGAUAGUCCGGCGACAAACUUGACCACAAAACUGAAACGGCACUAAGCUAAUCAGGGACGGCCAACUUGAACCUCAAACGGAACAAACUCCACUGGAAAAUGAAUUUUUGAAUGCAAACUAGAAUCGAUCUCAGCUCAAUCGAACACCCAUGUUUGACACUCAGAAUCGAAAAAGGAGACUGGAAUAUUUUUUAUAUAUAUAUUUUUGAAACCAAAAUGCUAAUUAGCACAAAAUAGAAACAUUUUUGUUUUUGUAUUUUUGUUCUAGGAAUUGAAAGGAAAAAUCUAAAAUUAAACGAUAAAAAACUCAAACCAAAACAGAAUGAAGAAGAAUCAAGAUGGGAAUCAAAAUCCAAACCCUCAUUUUGGUUUUUUUUCUGUCCCAAAAUUUCCCUAAUUUUCUCUCCCCCUUUCUUUUUUCCCCAGAUCUCGCCCUUUUCAUUUUUGUAUGCGUGUUUUCAGCUCUAGGGUUGUAAAGGGGGGAGGGUCUCAUCUCUUGUUGAAGAUGAGAGAGUGAUGUUUUCAUUGAAGAAGAUAGGAGGAUGGAGCGUCGUUGUUGGUAUUUUUCAAAUGGGGGAGGGUCUGAUUCGGCGGCGGAUCUAGGGUUCAGCCAUGGGGAUGGGAUCUUUCUGAUUUCUUGUGUUUUAGGAUGGAGAAAUGGGCGGCGUUGCCUUUUUGGAAGGGUGGGGGAUAUUUUAUUAGGUUUCUAAUGUGUGUUCCUGUUAGAGUGUAGGAGGUAGGGUUUUAAUAAAGGGGAAUGGGUAUUUGGGUAGUGGGCUGGGAUGGUAUGGGCUUGGGUAAUUUGGGAUUUUUGGGCUUCAAAUUAAGCUGGCCCAGACGAAAUUGACAGACCAAAUCCACUUCUUUUUCU
RNAcentral lists this long non-coding RNA (84054 nucleotides) under Nicotiana tabacum (common tobacco). RNAcentral's name for it is "long non-coding RNA (NTAB_LNC016249)". The record is from RNAcentral. Lineage: Eukaryota; Viridiplantae; Streptophyta; Magnoliopsida; Solanales; Solanaceae.